This 57722-nucleotide long non-coding RNA is filed under the name Marmota monax (woodchuck). The stretch from base 47455 to 47515 matches the Rfam family "tRNA", at positions 6 to 65 of the family's 71-position model. Lineage: Eukaryota; Metazoa; Chordata; Mammalia; Rodentia; Sciuridae. The record is from RNAcentral.
CGAGGGGCGACCGGGCCGGGGCCGCUGCACGCCGAGGGCGGAGGCCGAGCCGGGCCCCCGCCGCGCCCCGGCGGCUCGCUGCCCCCACACCCGCUCCGCUCCGAGGGCUGGAGGAUGAGUUCCCCGGGGUCCGGGUGAGUUGGCUUGUCUGGAAGUGCGUGUGCGCGCCGGGAGAGGCCGGCUGCGGCGGGGAGGCCGGCGCGGGCGCGGGCUAAGUUUGGAGUGAGGGGCGGCCCGGCCGGGUUGUUGAGGCCGCGGCGCGCCCUGGGCCCCGCGGUCCCCUCCGCAGACCCCUGGCCCUGGGUCGUGUCGGGUUCUGCCGUCCGGGCCCUCUUUUGUUUCCCGUUCCACCCCUGGGUCACAGGCCGUGUUUGGGAAGGCGAUGUGGGCGAAAGCCGCUCCGAGGACGCUUCUGGAAUCCUUAAAUGGGAAAGGCGCUUAGCUCCCCGCCCCGGAGCUGCGUGAUCGGGAUUCGGGGUUCGUCUCGGUACGCUUCGGUGAGAAAGGAAAGAGAACAAAGUGUGGUAGUCGAGCCCGGAGGAGCUGCUAGCCCGCCCUCCAACUUGGAAGGUGCCGGUUUUCUCCGAGGUCGCUGCGUGUGGGUUCACCUGUUGUCCUGCGCGGCCUCCGCUGCCAUGUCUGUUGUGAUUCUGCCCUUCAAUUUCGGAAAACUUUCUGCUGGAUUGCUUGUAACCUUUUUACUCUUUCCAGACUCCCAGUGGAAAGGUUUGGCAAGGAAAAAAAAAUGAGAUUGCGUCAGGGCAGAAAAAUCAUAUCCGUGUGUUAGGGUCUUGUGUUUUGUACUCCUUCGUGCGCUCGGAUGUUUUAAUUUGGUUUAAGCACUGCAGGUUUUUCUUUUAAACAAUUAGCAAACCGUUCUGAGUACAUAGUAGGAACUUGGCACCCGUAAUACGUCAUUUAUAAGACGUCAUUUACUUUAUAUCCGUGGCUGUUGUAAUUCUCAUUUGAAGGAAACUGAGCCUCAAAGAUAUUAAAUAAUUCAGAUGGAUGAGCUGGGAUUUGAACUCGGGAACGUCGUGUCAAGGCACAGGAGUUUUUCUUUUUUUAAACAAACCUUCAAAUACUUUUAGGUAUAAAAUAGUGUUUUUCAGUUAUUCGUACUUGAAACGCGCUGUUUUGUUGCUUGAGUUCAAAACAACUUCUUGAUUGUAUUUGCUUGUGAGAGGAGUUAAACUUCGAAUUAAAUUAGAAGGUCACAAUGCUUAUUUUCAGUUGUUGAAAUAGAUCGUGAACCAGAAUUAUUUCGCUUUUAAAAUUUAAAGUAAUAGGUGAUUCUUUGAUCUAGGAAUGAGCUGUUUACGAAAGGCCGAUUAAAAUUUGGAAUGUAUUUUUAAUAGAACCAGUACUCUGUUAUUUUUUUUUCCUCUUCACAUUCUCCAAGGAGCCCAUUUCAAACCUUUUUAGUUUUCUGCACUUCUCCCCACCCGUUACUAAAAAGAUUGAGAUGUCUAGUGGGAGGUCCUCCUCUGGAUUCCUUCUCAUCAGUUUCUUUCCUUGGAGAUUGUUUUGGUUCUUCUUGCAAGUUAACACCUGGUUUCAUCUUUCCCUGAUUUUCCUACUAAAUGGAGCAUGAGUUAUCCUUUCUGUUGUCUUUGGUUUUUAAAAGUACAGAUGUAAUUAAGAUUUCUUAAAUUUACAAAACCCUUUGCUUAAGUUUUCUAUUCCCUUAAGCUGUCUUGUUGCUGCUUUCCUUUUUAGUGCACAUUAACAUUUAAGUUUUUUUUUCUUAUAAAAGUAAUACGUGGCCAUUAAAGAGAAGUUGCAAAAAUAGAGCAAAAUUGAAGUAAAAUUAAAAUUCAGUCAUUCAUAAUCUCAUCUGUAGAGAUUGCCAAGAGUAGUCUACUUUUCCUCCUGGACAUGGUGGCCAUCUAUCCAUUUCUUAACCCUUUGUUGACUAGGAAUUAAUCAACACAUUUAAGUACCUUUAUUCAGUCCUCUCCUUGAAGUUCCUGUAAAAUAUAUUUAACAUCCAUUUCACAUUUUUUUUUUUAUUUGAUAAUGCUGAUCCUGGGGAUCAAACCCAGGGGAUUGAAAGCACUUUGCCACUGAGUUACAUUGCCUGCCCAACUUCUGCUUCUUUGAAUGUUUCUCCUUGGCUUUCAUUCUUCUGUACAUUUCAUUUCAGAAAUACUUGCUGUAUUCUAAAAUAUUGUACAAGGUAAAAGGGUGCAACUACAGAUAUGACCCCUGCUCUCAUGGAGCUUAAUAUCUAGUGGGGGAGACAUGUUGAAGGAUGUGUUCUAUAAUUAAGUAAAAUUGUUGUUAUAAUUGAAGUGUAGAGUAUUAUAAAAGGUUAAAAAGAGGUUAAAAUUAGGAUCUGACCUGGUGCUGGGAGAUUAUAGGAACAUCUCCCUAAAAUGUUACCUCAGAACCUGGCACAGUGUGAAGGAAGAGUAAGAAUUAACUAGGUGUGAAAGGGGGCUUCUGCAGCUUUGUUCUUCCUUUUUCUGCCACCCUUUCUUCCUCCUUCCUUUUUUUUUGGGGGGGGGAGAGGGGUACUGGGGAUUAAACUCUGGAGCACUUCCACUGAGCUACAUCCCCAACCCUUUAAAACUUUUUUUUUUUAACAGGAUCUCACCAAGUUUCUGAAGCUGGCCUCAAAGUCACCAUUCCUCCUGUCUCAGCCUCCCUAAUCACUGGGAUUACAGGCAUGCACUGCACUAUAACCUAGUCACUUCCUCUUAAUAUAUGCACUUCCUCUGAUAUACAUGUUUUCCAAGUUUCACUCUUCAAGUCACUUUUAUGUCUCCAGUCUCUCCAUUAUUAUUCAGACCUUUUUGUCUGAAUAUUUCUCAAAUCUUUGUUCUUAAUUUCUCUUGUGCAUGAGUCCUAUUUUUUCAUUUGCUUUAUGCAUAAUGUGGCCUGGUUGUUUCUAGUUGAAACUUAACUCUUCCUUUUGGCUUCUUUGGUGUUCCUUAUUUUUGUUGAUGUCAUACCAAAUCCAAACCUUUUUCCCAUUCUGUCACGUAUUGUUGAAUCUGCCACCAUCUUUUGAUUCUGCUUUUAUGAUAUUAUAACUACUCUGUAUUCCUGCUAACUGACAAAAUUCUUAAUUCAUGUUGGUAUUAGAGUUAUAAUAAAGUUACAAAAUAAGUUGGGCAGUUUUCUUCUUCUUUUUUUUUUUUUCAGGAGUUUUGGACUGGGAUUAUCUGUUCUUUGAAAGUUUGGCAGAUAUCACCUAUAGGACCAUUCAGGCCUUUAUCUCUUUUCCUGGAGAGGGUUUUGAGUACCAUUUCAAUUUAUUUAGUAGCUAUUGGUUUAUGUAGGUUUUUAAAAAUUUUUCAUUAUAUAUACCUUUUAUUUUCAUUUAUUUUUAUGUGGUGCUGAGGAAUGAACUCAGUGCCUCACCCGUGCUAGGCAGGUGCUCUACCAUUGAGCUACAAUCCUAGCCCUUAUGUACAUUUUUUAUUUCUUGUGUGAAUUUAGUGUUUCAUAUUUUUUUCCAGAAAUUUAUUAGUUGAGUUUUCAAAUCUGAGGUUAUUUGGUUUUGGUUUUUAGGUGUUGAAAUUUCUACUACAUGUGCUUUCCCCCUUUUCACACCCCCCUACCCCGUUUUAAACCAGGUUCUUAUCCUGCUUGGAUAAUGAUAUGAUCUUGUUUUUCUUUUUUGCUUCUUUUACCUGUUCUUUUUUCACUCUCCUCCUGGACUGUUGGUUAUAGUGUUCCUUCUACGUGGAUUGCAUAUAUGGCCAGUUAUCAUAUGUCCAAGUCCAACCCAGUUUUGAAGCACCAUUUUGAUUGCAACUCUUAAGUUUUAACAAUUUUUUUCUUCUGGAUGGAAUCCCUCUUGGAGUACCACACAGUUUUUUAUUUUUAAUUUUUGGCAUGCAGUUUUCUCUCCCUAGUAUUUUCUUAUUGCACUUGUCUUUUAAAGAAGUUUUAAUUUUUUUGAAGCAUGAUUUAUAUACAAUGAUGUAUAUAAGUUAGGUGUGCACUUCUGUGAGAAAUUUAAUCUUUUAUGGUAGUUUUUAUACAGUUACUAGUUCCACUAUUAGAUUGCAGGCUGGGUCUGUAAUGGAUUUUGUUGCAUUUUAAAAUGAAUAAAUUGGGAAAGGCCCCUAUCUGUCCUAGCAGUGGCUAUUGAACUGUACUGAUUUGACUUAUGGAUCUUGGAAGCAGAUGGGUUUCCUCCCAUGCUAAAUUUUGAAGUAGGAACCCUUUUCUUUCCUUUUACUUCUACCACCUUUUACUACUUUUUGUUUUUAGAGUGCCUUUUCAGUGCCAUGAGAUCUAUAUUUAGCCCGUCAGUCCAAUCUUUUUAACAUUUAUAAGAUUAAAUGUUGGGCUGGGGUUGUGGCUCAGUGGCAGAGCUUGCCUAGCACGUGUGAGUGAGGCACUGGGUUUGGUCCUCAGCACCACAUAAAAAUAAAUAAAUAAAAUAAAGGCAUUGUGUCUAUCUACAACUGACAGUUAAAGAAAAAAGAUGUUAUAUUGCAUUGAAUUAUGUCAACUGUAUGCUUAUAAGACACUUAUAAGCCAUUGGUUGUAAAGUGCACCCCAAUGUCAGAGAUGCUAAAAUGUAUCCAUCUUAGAAUUGAUGAAUAAAGUUUCUUUCCUGUUCCUUUAGUGUAGGUGUUGGAAAGAAAGAAUUUAAACUCAUGUGGAAGUGAUUUGUACCCCUGCUGUUACUAUGAAAAGUUAUUUUUAAAUAUGUUUGUUAAAUGUCUUCAACAAGUGAGAAAUUUCAGGCAGUACAGAGAAAUAUUUAUUUUUGAAUUAGGUCUUUCAGGAGACCUGUGUACUUCCAUUUCACGUGUGUGUGUGUGCGUGUAUGUGUGUGGUGGGCAGGUGGGUAUGGAGGCGGAUAUUAGGGAUAGAACCCAGAGCCUGUGCAUGCUAGGCAAGCACUCUACCACUGAGCUAAAUCAUUAGCCCCUGAUUUCUUUUGCUUGUUAUCUGAACUACAAGUUCUCUAAUUGCUACAGACUUUGUAAAGUGGGAAUUGUGGGGGAUUGUGAUGACCAAUUGGAUGGAUCAUUUUUAAGACUAUCCAGUAUUUAUAUAUCAUCAUUAACAAUUAUAUAUAUAUAUAUAUAUAUAUAUAUAUAUAUAUAUAUAUAUAUAUAUAUAUAUAUAUAAAUUGUUCCUCCUUUGGGGGUUGGUUCCAGGAACCUGGUGGUUAUCAAAAUCUUUUGGAUGCUCAUGUCCCAUUAUGCAAAAUGACCUAGUAUUUGCGUAUAACCUGCACACAUCUUUUUGUAUACUUAGUCAUCUCUAGGUUACUUGUGUUAUUCAUUUUUUGUGGCCCUGGGGAUCAAACCCAGGACCUUGAACAUGCUACACAAGGACUCUACUACUGAGCUAUAUCCUUAGCCCCCUCUAGAUUACUUAUGAUACUUAAUACUUAAUAUAGCCUAAUAAAUGAUGUAUAAGUGGUUGUUGUUCUGUAUUGUUUAGGGAAUAGUGACCAAAAAUUCUGUAGUGUUCAGUACAGAUUUUCUUGAAUAGUUUUGAUUCAUAAUUGGUGAGUGGUUCAUGAGUUGUUAAAUCCUAAGGUUUGAAGGGUCUGCUGUAUUUAUUUAAAGAGACAAGAGUCUUACCAUGUUACCCAGGCUGAGCCCAAACUUCUGGACUUCAGUGAUCCUCUUACCUUAGCCUCCCAAGUUCCUGAGACUAUAUGCUUACACCAUUGAGCCCAGCUUGUACUUAAUUUUUUAAAAGUAAGUACAAAAUGUGUUUGAAUGUUCAUAAUUAUGUGUAUCAAUUUUUUUUAGCAAGUACGUUUAAGACCCGCAGUUUUUUUUUUUUUUUUUUGGACUGGGGAUUGAACCCAGGGGCAAUUAACCACUGAGUCACAUCUCUAGGCCUUUUAAUUAAUUAAUUAAUUAAUUUUGAGACAGGGUCUCACUAAGUUGCUGAGGCUGGCCUUGAACUUGUGAUCCUCCUGCCUCAGCCUUUUUUUGUUUUUAAAUAUAUUUAUUUUUUAGUGUUUAGUUGGACACAAUAACUUUAUCUUAUUUUUAUAUGGUGUUGAGGAUCGAACCUAGCACCCUGUGCAUGCCAGGUGAGCGCGCUACGUCUUGAGCCACAUUCCCAGCCCUGCCUCAGCCUUUUGAGUCUCUAGGAUUACAGACCUGCGCCACCAUGCCUUGCAAGACUGUCAUUUUUAAAAAAGAUACAAAACAAAACAAACAAAAAAAUAAGACGAUGUGCCUGGAGAAAUCCAGAAAUGGUUUUUUAAAAGAGCCCUAGUUAGGGGCUUCAGGAGAUAGAUGAUCAGUAUAAUUCAUCACCGGGUGGACUUAGUAAGCUCCUAAGCAGCUAAAUAGGACUAAUGAAUAGACAUUGAAUAGAUAAGGAAAUUGUUUUUGAGUAUCUUUUAUUUUCUCUGAUGUUGUGGACUUCAGUACUUUUCCUUUUAAAAUUUUAUGCUCCCGCUACUUUUUUUUUUUUUUUAAUGGUAUUUGGGAUCGAAUACAGGAGCUUUCUGCCUCUGAGCUAUAUCCCCCCAGUCCUCCUUAUUAUUUUUUUUUAUUUGAGACAGAGUCUCACCAAAUUGGCUAGGUAUUUCCUGAACUUAUAAUCUUCCUGCCUCAUCCUCCUGAAUAACUGCAAUUGUAGGUGUGUACCGCUGCACCUGGCAAACUUUUAUGCUUCUGUUAAUUAUUUUUUAGUGUACAGAUUGGUUAUAUGUAUUACUCAAGUCUGAAAGACUGGAGCUUGACUUGCUCUAGCUGUGUGUAAUUCCCUAUUGAUUUAUGGAGGAGGAUAGAUAGGGGUAUGCUAUACAUAGGGAAAGGAGGAGAAAAAGGAUAUGUCAGAUAUAGGGAUAAAAUAAUCAGAUUUACAGUUUGGUGAUUAAUUAAACGUUGUAGAGUCAGUUUGAAGAACAGAAGACCUAAGACACUGAAACUGGAACAAAACACUAUAAUUUUGAAAAUAAGAUUUUGAAGUGUUUCUGAAACAACCAAAUAGAGGUUUCUGGGGUCAGGUGUGUAACUCAGUGAUAGAAUGUAUUCAUGUAUUCAUGAAGCCCUGGGUUUAAUCCCCAGUUCCAAAAGAAAGAAUAAAUAAAUAAAUUUUAAAAGAAGAAGAAGAGGAAGGAAGAAAUAAAAGAAAACCCAAAGUAGAGGUUUCUACUUGACAAUUGUAUGUAUGGGUCUAGAAUUUGACAGAGGUUUGGGCUGGAGAUAUUUGGGGGUGAUUACCAUUUAGGCUGUAUAUUUCAAUAGUUGGAGUUAGGUGGUACUCAAGUGACUUUUGUUUGCAUGUGGAAAGCCCUACACCCAUUUGGUUAAAGGGAAAAAAUGCUUUCUCUCAUCUUUUUGAAAAGACUAGAAAUCAGCAUGGUUGAAUCUUAUGAUGUUCUCCAUUUUUUUUGGCCUCAUUUUCAGACCAGUGUAUUCAUCUCAUAGAGGAGGACCCUUAGCAUCUCCAGACUAGUAUGGAUUUGUCUGAUAUGAAUUUAAAAGGGGAAAAGGGUGCCUCUUUUCCAUAUAUAUAUGUAUGUGUGUAUAUAUAUAUAUAUAUAUGUGUGUGUGUGUGUGUGUGUGUGUGUGUAUAUAUAUAUAUAUAUAUAUAUAUAUAUAUAUAUAUAUAUACUCUUCCAUGGAGAGAUUCUUGGUGGUUUGCAGGGAGGAUAGGGUGCCAUCUUUAGCCAGAAAUGGCUACUUCCCCCACUGGAGCAGCCAGGGAGCCCAUUAAACCCUGCAGUUGGUAGUCUUCCUGAAACUAUGUGAGAUGGACAAGUGAUGGUCUCCCCAAAGAAAAAAAAGAUGGCUCUGAUCAGUUAAAUAAUUGAAAUCAUCUGUCCUUUGGUUCUUAGCAUUUUAAGGUCAUUCCUUUAGAAUCUGAAGGAAAAUACACAUGUAAAACUCUCUGGUGCAAUUUCAUAUAUAUUCUACAGACUUCUUAUUAGGAAUUCCUAGUCAGCAAAGAGUCCAGAACCAGAGCCCCAGAAAGCACCAACUUAAGGCCUUGGUAGAAAAAAAUAGAUGUUAAACAUUUAUCUAGUUGUAGUAGGGUUAUGGCCUAUGAGGGGCUAGUCUGAGAAUCUUACGUGAGUAUGCCAUGAGGGAAGGGAACCUGAAUUGUCUAGAAUGUGGGUGCUUUGGAAGGCUUUACUAAAUAAAAAUAAGAAAGUAGCCAGCAGAAUGAGACCUUAGGCAAGAAAGCAGAGGGAAAAUGUUUCUGGAAGUAUUCAGUAGUUUUUAAAGCAAACAUUGUAUUCUUUUGCCUGCUUUUUAAAAAUGUGUCUGUUUUAGAUAAUUUGGGAACUAUGAAAAAUUAUAAAGCAGCAGCAAAAAGAUUAAGUUCUGGCUUUAAAAAAAAAUUUUUUUUUCCCAAUAAAGUCAAGUACUGGUUCUACCACAAAGUAGCAGUGUAAUCUUGGAUACCACACAAAACCUGUUUAGAUUUCUGCUGUUUCUUUGUCUUAAAAAGUGAAAGGGGGCUGGCUCCAUGGUACACAUUUGUAAUCCCAGCGGCUCAGGAGGCUGAGGCAGGAGGAUCGAAAGUUCAAAGCCAGCCUCAGCAAGGGUGAGGCACUAAGCAACUCAGUAAGAUUCUGACUCUAAAUAAAAUACAAAAUAGGGGCUGGUAAUGUGGCUCAGUGGUUGAGUACCCAUGAGUUCAAUCCCCAGUACCAAAAAAAAAAAAAAAAUCAAAAGGGACUUGGUGAACUUCAAGAUCAUUUUUCUGCUAAAGAAAGAAAGAAAAUCCCGUUACUCAGUGCAAAGCAGUUAGUUGCUGAAAUUGCAGGUCAUAUAAUGCUUUUUGUCCUGAUGACAUCAUUGGAUUUCAGAUUUUUGGCUGAAAAAAGUCACUCUUCAGCUUUGGCAGUCCUUGCAAAUAACAAAGGGAAUGACUUAUGAUCAAUGGUGCUCUUGCGCUGCCCGUUUUUGUCUCCUUUCUGAACAUCAUCAUUAUUAUUUUUAUUCUUUAGCAUUAGGUAAAGUAUCUGAAGUGGUAUAUGAGUAUAGACUUUCAGGUUUUUAUUUUGGUACUGGGGAUUGAAUUCAGUGGCACUCAACCACUGAGCCAUAUCCCCAGCCCUAUUUUGUAUUUUAUUUAGAGACAGAGUCUCACUAGAUUGCUUACAUCCUCACCAAGUUGCUGAGGCUGGCUUUGGACCUGCAAUCCUCCUGCCUCAGCCUCCUAAACUGCUGGGAUUACAGACGUGAGCCAUCAUGCCUGGCUCCCCAGCUGUUUUUGAGACAGGAUUUCCCUAAAUUGCCUCAGUCUCCCAAGUAGCUGGGAUUAAGCUUCUGAUAGGAAAUGUUAAAGACUUAACAUUUGUUGUUUCUUUGUUUUAAAAAGUGAAAGGGACUUGGUGCAUAUGCAUGUGUAAUUUACAACUAGAUUUUGAAGAUAGUUCAAAAUGUGAAGUAUCUCACUAUGUUUUAAAAAUGUUGAUUGUAUAUUGAAAUGUUAUUGUUUUGGAUACAUUGGACUGAAGAAAUUAUUAAAAAUUAAUUUAACUUGAUUCUUUUUAAAAAAAUAUUUAUUGUUUUAGUUGUACUUGGACAUAAUACAUUUAUUUUAUUUAUUUAUUUUUAUGUGGUGCUGAGGAUCAAACCCAGCUCCUCGAAUGUGCUAGGUGAGCACUGUACCACUGAACCAUGACCCCAGCCCCUAUUCUAGGAUGUUUUAUAUUGCCAAAUGCUUUGUACCAGGUAAGAUAUUUGUAUCUGUUGAUGGCAAAGGGUUCAGAAGAUGAUACUGUGGCAUCAAAAUUAUUUUGAGCGAAAGGCAUUUGCAAGUAGGCUCAUUUCUGAAUUCCCUUAUCUGCCUAAAGGCACAGCUUUCUACAAGAACCCAGUUAUCAUAAAUCUCCUCCAUAGGGCAUGGAAUGUCAUAAACCUUAGUUGUCAGAAAUCUCUUACUUGGGGUAGAGAGAGAGGAGGGGAGGGGAGGGGAGAGGUGGGGAGGGGGGAGGGUGGAUGAUGGGAAAGGCAGCGGAGCACAACAGACACUAGUAUGGCAAUUUGUAAAUCAAUGGAUGUGUAACUGAUGUGAAUCUGCAAUCUGUGUAUGGGGUGAAGGUGGGAGUUCAUAACCCACUAGAAUCAAAGUGUGGAAUAUGAUAUGUCAAGAAAUUUGUAAUGUUUUGAACAACCCACAAUAAAAAAUUAAAAAAAAAAAAAAAAAAAAAGAAAUCUCUUACUUGCGAGUUUUGCAGCUAGGGGAGAUUGAGUCUCAUCAAUGAGAUUAUCUCUCCCGAACAGACGUUAUCACAAAACUCACUAUUUCCAUCUAUUCUCCUAAAGGUACAUUUAUCUUUCCUAAAAGUGACUUAUUUCUUGUAAGUGCUCUUUCUCCCCCUCAGAUUUCCCUGUUAAGAUAGUAUAUAACCUUAGCUAAGCGCUGUGGUGCACACUUGUAAUCCCAGCGGCUCAGGAGGCUGAGGCAGGAGGAUUGCAAGUUCAAAGCCAGCCUCAGCAAUGGUGAGGCACUAAGCAACUCAGUGAGACCCUAUCUCUAAAUAAAAUACAAAAUAAGGCUAGGGAUGUGGCUCAGUGGUUGAGUGCCCCAAUCCCUGAUCUCCCCCCCCCCCAAAAUAUGAAGAUGCAAAAGCUAAGUAAAUUGUUAAGCUAGUGAGUGGCAGAACUUGGAUUCAAAUCCAAGCAGACUGACUUUAGAGUCCAUGCUCUUAAUCACACAAUUAUAUUCUCAAAUGGAGUAGUAUAAUUUUAAGAUGAAGAUGCAUCUACACACACACAUGCAUUUUUCUUUACUUUUACUUGUUUUUAUUCUUGCUCUUCAUUGCUUGUGUUUGUUAUCUGAGGUAUCAGGUAAGAUGUCUGAUGCAUUGAAUAGGUUUACUGAAAAAAAUUUUAUUUGUUUAUUUAUUUAUUUUGAUGCCAGAGUUUGAACUCAGGGGUGUUUGGCCACUGAGCCACACCCACAGCCUUGUCUUGUAUUUUAUUUAGAGACAGGGUCUCACUGAGUUGCUUAGUGUCUUGCAUUUGCUGGGGCUGGCUUUGAACUUGCGAUCUUCCUGACUCAACCUCCUGAGCUGCUGGGAUUACAGGAGUGCGCCACUGUGCCUGAUAAGAUUUACUUUUAAAAAUUACUUAAUUCCUACGUUUUUAUUUCAAUGCAUUAGAAAACUCUCAUAGGUAAAUUUUUGAUUGAUGUUCUUUCCCUUGCCUGAUUUUUUUUCUUUGCAACAUAAAGAGUAUUACAAGUUAUUAGUUGUCCAGUUGUCCUCAUCAGUGGAAUACAGUUGCAUUUUAUUUAUUUAUUUAUUUUUAGAGGAGGAAAAGUUUGUUUGGGGACUCUUUUUUAUUGCUGAGUAAUAUUCCAUUGUGUAUAUAUGCCACAUUUUUAAACUCCAUUCAUCUCCUGAAGGGCAUCUGGUUGGUUCUACAGUUUAGCUAUUGUGAAUUGUGCUGCUACAAACAUUGAUGUGGCUGUGUCCCUGUAGUAUGCUGUUUUUAAGUCCUUUGGAUAUAGACCGAGGAGAGGGAUAGCUGGGUUAAAUGGUGGUUUCAUUCCCAGUUUUCCAAGGAAUCUCCACACUGCUUUCCAUAUUGGCUGCACCAAUUUGUAGGUCCCACCAGCAAUUUAUGAAUGUGCCUUUUCCCCCACAUCCUUGCCAACACUUAUUGUUGUUUGUCUUCAUAAUAGCUGCCAUUCUGACUGGAGUGAGAUGAUAUCUUAGAGUAAUUUUGAUUUGCAUUUCUCUAAUUGCUAGAGAUGAUGAACUUUUUUCAUAUAUUUGUUGAUUGAUUGUAUAUCCUCUUCUGAGAAGUGUUUGUUCAUGUCCUUGGCCUAUUUAUUGAUUGAGUUAUUUGUUUUUUUUUUUUUUUUUUUUUUUUUUUUGUGUGUGUGUGUUUAGCUUUUUGAGUUCUUUAUAUACCCCAGAGAUUAGUACUCUGUCUGAUGUGAGGGGUAAAAAUUUGCUCCCAAGAUGUAGGCUCUCUAUUCACUUCACAGAUUGUUUCUUUUGCCGAGAAGAGAUUUUUUAGUUUGAGUCCAUCCCAUUUAUUGAUUCUUGGUUUUAAUUCUUGUGCUAUAGGAGUCUACAGUUGCAUUUUAAACAUUUCCCCAAAACCUUCAUAUAGUUUUUAAAAAAUUAGUGCUUUAUAUUUUUUCUUAUUCCUGAGAUAUACAUAUGGUUGCUCAUGGUUACACAGGUAAGCCUUUAUUUUUUAAAAAAAAAUCUUUACCAUGAAUAUCACUCUUAAAAUAGUAGAUGUUUGCAUAACAUAAUUAUAUUAUUUGUAAUGGUCUUAGAAUGUGUUUAAAAUCUACCUUGUGAGAGAAAAAAGGAGAAAAAAGCAAUAAAACAUACUGCCACAAAAAUUGAAAGUGAGCCGGAUACUGUGACACACAUUUGUAUUCAGAAGUGACUGAGGAGGCUGAGGCAGGAGGAUCAUAAGUUCAAAGCGAGCAUCAGCAGCUUAGUGAGGCCCUAAGCAACUUAUCAAGACUCUGUUUUCAAAUAAUAAUAAUAAAAAAGGUCUGGAAUGUAUCCCAGUGGUUAAGCACCCCUGGGUUAAAUCUCUGGUACCUAAAACAAAAACAGCAACAACAGCAGCAACAAAAAUAAAUAAAGAAAACCUUACUACUUAAUGUUUCUGCCAUAACUUAAGAAUUUAAGGAAAUAAGGCCAGUAAAGCACAAGUUUCAUUCAUGCUUUAUACCUGAAUGUCUGAACCCAAAAUAUAAGAAAUCUGAAAUUAAGGGGUGUUGUCUAAACAGAAAGUUUUAAAAAUGUGGCUGUCUUGUUUUAGUUGUCGUGUGUGUGUGUGUGUGUGUGUGUGUGUGUGUGUUCUAUAUGUUCCUCUUCCAUUUCAUGUUUGGAACUUUUAAGCGAAAGUUAAGAUAGCUGGGUACUGUGUCUCAUGUCUUCCUGUAGUCCCAGUGGCUCAGGAGGCUGAGGCAGGAAGAUUGCAAAUUCAAAGCCAGCCUCAGCAAUUUAGUGAGAGCUUAUCUCAAUAAAAAAAGUUGGGGAUGUGGCUUCAUGGCUAAGUUUCUCUGGUAAACCCCUCCGACCCCCAAAAAGAGUUAAGAUGUUUCAUAUUUGGUGUAUUUUUUUCUGUAAUAAUGGACUAAAAUAGAAUAAGAUGUGGAGAAGUAGAACCUACUGAGGGAAGCCAGAGACCAGAUGGAAAUAAAAAUCUAAAACCUCUAGAAGAAUGAAGCUAGAAUGAAUACAAUCUAAACACUGAAAUUAUACAUCUGCUAGGCAGCUGUGCAUUCUUUAUAAGUUUUUUUUUUGUGAAGUAACAAAAGAAACUUUGGAAGAACAUUUCCUAAAUAAUCUGAGCAAAUAUUCUUAUCAGUAAUUAUGAUAUGUGCAUUUUUUGGGGGGAAGUACUGGAGAUUGAACUCAGGGGCACUUGACCACUGAGCUACAUCCCCACCCCUAUUUUGCAAUUUAUUUAGAGACAGGGUCUCACUGAUUGCUUAGUGCCUGGCUUUUACUGAGGCUGGCUUUGAAUUCAUGAUUCUCCUGCCUCAGCCUCCCCAGCGGCUAGGAUUACAGGUGUGCAUGCGUUGUGUGUGUGCUUUUUUUAAAAAUUAUUUUUUAGUUUUAAGUGGACACAAUAUUUUAUUUUUACGUUCUGUUGAGGAUUGAACCCAGUGCCUCAUGCAUGCUAGGCGAGCACUGUACCACUGAGCCACUACCCCAGCCCUGAUGUGCGCUUUUAAUUGUACAUUUCCUAGACUUUACACAAAUUCUUUUCUAAAAUUAAUUUUUUUUGAGGGGAGGUUUGGUUUAGAUUUCCUAUUUAUAAUUUCAACACUGAAUCAAUAUUUUAUUAAAUUAUAUAUGAAGAGCUCUUCAGUGGGUACCAAAAAAGAGUGAUGUUGUUAUAAACAUGUCAUUGCUUUCCUUUGUUAGUAUUCUAGGAUGAUCUUGGACCAUUGUCCAAGACUGGAUUUUCAGAAGGAAUGAAAAAGCUUUAUAACCCAGUAGCUGGCGAAGAAGUAGGGAAAAAAAAAACUGUCAAGAGAUAUACCCUUUAAAAGGCCAGAUGUUUUUACAGGACUUUAAAAAUAAUUGGUGAUUCUUAUCUUCCACAAAUUUCCAGAGCAAAGAAAAAUGCAGAAGAGAUGUUCUUUGAGGCUAGUUAUAACCCUGCUAACAAAAUCAGAUAAGGAUAGAACCAAAAGAAGAAGAAGGAGAAAAAAAAAAGAACAGAGAGAAAGAAAAUGAUAGGCUAUUCUUAGUUGUUACUAAUUGUGAAAUUUACAAGUUGAAUUAAACAGUGUAUUAAAAUCCAUAGGAUAACAUUAACUGGAGGAUUUAAAGGAUGAUUUGACCUUCAGAAAUCUGUAGUGUCAUUUACAGUAUAUUAAUAAAGAGGGAGGCUAUUUAGUAAAUAUGACUAUCUUACUUGAGGUAAAAAAAAAUAUUCAAGGGGCUGGAGUUAUGGCUCAGAGGUAGAGCGCUUGCCUAGCAUGUGCUAGCUGGGUUCGAUCCUAAGCAUCACAUAAAAAUAAAUAAUAAAAUAAAGUAUUGUCUGACUACAACAACAAAAACAACAAAAUGUAUUUAAAAAAAUACUCAGUAAGCUGGGUGUGGUGGUACAUACAGUAAUCCCAGUGACUCAGAAAGAUAGAGUUCAAAGCCAGCCUCAGCAAUUUAGCGAGGCCCUAAGCAACUCCUCAAGACCUUGUCUGUAAAUAAAAUAUAAAAAAGGGUUGGGGAAUGUGGCUCAGUGGUUAAGCGCCUCUGGGUCAAUCCCCAAUACCAAAAAAGAAGAGAAAAAAAAAUGGUGAAAUUGAGUAACUAUUUCUGGUAGAUUAGACUUGUGGAAAUAAGGAAAUUUUUCUUAACUUGAUAAAGAGUAAAACUAUCUAACUGAUAAAGCAAACACAACUGGAAAAAUAUUUUUCUUGAAAGAGGGAACAAUACUAAGAGGUCAUUUAAGGCUGUUGUUAUUGAUGGAGGCUUUAGCGAUUGGACUACAAAAAUCUAAAGAAUGUAAAGGUAUAAAUAUUUGAAGAGGAAGAUAAAAUGUGUACUUUUUGCCUUUGCUGCCUUCCAAGAAUGCAGUUUACCUAGAAAAGACGAGAGGAUCAAUUGACAGGUUUAGGAAACUAAUAAAUGAGGUCAGUAAGGUGGCUAUAUACAUGGUAAAGGAAGAAAUCAAUAGGCUUCCUAUACACCAGUAGUAGUUGCUCAAUUUGAGAAAUACUGUCAGCAUUUACUACAUUUGGUGAGAUGUUCCUGUUAAUCCUUGGCCUAAUUGGCAGUUUCCCAUCCCAGACAAGAUUUCAAUCAUAAAGAGAGAGCUCUGGAAGAUGAAGUUUCCAAUUUCCUGCUUACCUCAAUAGAAAAAAAGUCCAGUGUUUUGAAGGGCUGACACAAGGCCGGUUGCUUUCUGAGUAUUCCCAGGGAGCUAAACUGCCCUCGAAUGUUCUUACUCUCUCACUUUCUAGUGUUUGUGUGUGUGUAUAUAUAUAUAUAUAUAUUUUUUUUUUUUUUUUCUUUUUAUCUUUUCUUUUAAAGUACUGGGGAUUGAAUUUAGAGUGUUCUGCCUCUGAGCUAUAUAUACAACCUUUUUUGUUUUAUUUUGAGACAGGGUCUCCCUAAAUUGAUCAGGGGGGGCCUUGAAUUUGUGAUUCUCCUGCCUCAGUUUCCUAAGUAGCUGGGAUUACUGGCAUGUAUCAUCUUUGGAGAGACUGUAUUACUGAGCUUCCUGUAACGUCUGGAGGCCUACCCCUUAGUUUCCUGCAAGAGUAGCACACAGUAUACUCAGGGAAAUAGAAAAGGGAUUUCCCUAAAAGUAACUAGAUUUUUUUUUUUUAAUGAAAUACAUGCUUACUGUAAACACAAAAUUCAAACAAUACAUAAAAAUGAACUUUCCUCUUCUCCUUUUGCUUGCUCUUAAUUUAUUCCUUCUUCAUUGUUAACCACUCUUGCUACUUUUAUAUAUCAUCCUAAAACUUUCUCUCCAUUUACAUAAAUACCUGUUUUUGGUGUUUCAUACAGAUGGUUUCAUGCAUUUUGUAUUGCAGCCUGCUUUUUUUAAAAAUAUUUUUUUAGUUGUAGAUGGACACAUGGUGUCUUUAUUUAUUUUUAUGUGGUACUCAGGCUUGAAUCCAGUGCCUUACACUUGCAAGGCAAGCGCUUUACCAUUGAGCUACAGCCCCAGUCCGAAGCUUGCUUUUUUUGCUUAACAUUUUCGUUUCUCUUGGUUUUUUAAUCUUACAUUGAACUGUAUUCCCCUACAGCUCUAUAUAUUCCCUUUGAAUAGACACUUUUCUUCCACUGCUAUCCAGUUCCUGAAACUUUUUUAUAGUCCCUCUUUCUGAACAUUUUAGUCACCUUGCUCUGGGGCAGCCUUUGCCCCUCUUCUCAGAUUAAUAUUUAUAAAAAGUAAAAUAUGUAGGAUUAUGAGGGAAAUCAAUUAUAUUGAAACAGCUCUUAAAACAUUUUUAGAUAUACUGGUAUAUUCUUUUAUGAACUAAUUAAAUAAUACAGUGGCAGAUUUUCACAACUGCUCUAAUUUUUAAAUAGUGAUGAGCAUAAAUAAUACUUUGAGUUAUCUGCAACAGUGUGAUUUAUUGGGAAUAUCUGAUUUCUUUUGGUUAUAAAGCUACAAAAUGUUAUUACUACUACCGUGGAUCUUGCCUACUCUCAUAAUUAAAGAAGUUGUUCAGUUAGAGGGUAGUAAAAGUAAAGGUGUAAUUUUUUUUCCAUCUACAUUCAGGAAGUUCCUGAUCAAUAUCAUUUACAACUGAAACUUGAUCCACUUUAGAGGAUAUUAGUUGUUUGGCUGCCCAUUUCAGGAGGUGGAGUUUUCUCUUCUAGACCCUCUUUCCUUUAGUCUUAGAAGUAGGUUAUUCUUUUUUUUUUUUUUUUUUUUUUUUAGAGAGAAUUUUUUUAAUGUUUAUUUUUUAGUUUUCGGUGGACACAACAUCUUUGUUUGUAUGUGGUGCUGAGGAUCGAACCUGGGCCGCACGCAUGCCAGGCGAGCGCGCUACCGCUUGAGCCACAUCCCCAGCCCAUGAAGUAGGUUAUUCUUGUUUGCCCUUCUUUGAUACUUCCAGAACACUCUACUUCUUAACGUUCCUUGAUGUCAACAAAAAUCAGGAUUUUCAAUUUCAUGAUAUUGAAUAGUACCAUUUACAACUAUUGUUCCUUGCAGUUUUAAAUGGAACUGUUGUUUACUUCACACUUAUUCCAAGAAGAUACUAAUCUUAUAUGGCACCCUGUUUUCCAUUCUCAUUUCCGGGUUGAUCUUACCUGACCUCAAGGUUUGAAACCAUUCAUGUUUCAAAUUGUGAUGAUGCCAAAUUUUAAUCUCUAGUCUGAACCCUUUCUUGGAAGUAUAGAUGUGUUUCACUUGGGUGUCUAAGAUGUGAUAGCAGUGCAACUUUUUCUAAAAAAACUUUCUUCCCUCAGUAAGUUAAUAUGCUGUGCUUAGAAUGAUUUCCCCUUGGAAGAAAACUAAAGCUGUUUUCUUCCUCUUUGACUAAAAAUGUAUAAAUUGUUUUUGGUAAAAAGCAUGAGAUAGGACUUUCCUUUUAAUCAAAUGGGAAGCUAAUUUCUCAACUCUGUUGAAUAAUUCAUUUUUAAUGAUCUGAAAUGUAAUGAUAUUAGACUUUAAAUAAAUAAAAUUACCAUUUAAUGUUUGCAUUAUAGAUUUCAUACCCUUUAAAGUAUAUGUUAUUUUAAUUUAGAACACAACUAUGAGAACAAUAGUUGAUACUGAAUUAAAAAUGGAUUAAAUAAAUUGAAUAAGUAUGGAAACAAAAAUCAGACAUUAAAUUUGGUGUUUAACAAACUAAGAACAACACACUGGUGGAGAAAGAGGUUCAUUCACUAAUCAGUAUUUGGAUACUUGUAUUGCACUUUGAAGAAGAUCAAUUUUAUAUAGUAAAAUGCAAUGACGUAAACUUAACAGAAGAAGGUUACAGUGGAGUAUGAAAUAUGUAACUAAACAGAUACAAGCUUCCAUCUAAUGUAAAAGGUUUGUAGGAUGCAUACUUAUAUUAGGAAUGAAAUGUAGAAGUGGUAAAAUCAUUACAUACAAAAAUGCUGUCUGUAUUUAAUCCCAGUUAUAGGUAUAGGAAAUAACCUAACCCUAAGGUUAUAUAGCCAUCAGGGGUAUAUGAUAUGAGGAAAAAAGCAUAUCUCUUUUGCCACUGUUGUAAAUUGGCCCAGUCUUAAGGGAAAAGAAUUUGACUAAAAACAUAUUUUAGAAGAAAGGGGGAUGAGAUACUGUGGAGCUAAGGGAUUUGAUUUUGAAAUUUCUAUCUGUGAUGGCAUACUGUAAUAUCCCCUAAUCUGGGCAGGGUUUUUUUUUUUUAAAUAAUUUAUUUUUUAGUUAUAGGUGAACAUGAUAUAUUUAUUUAAGUUUUAUGUGGUGCUGAGGAUCGAACCCAGUGCCUCAUGCAUGCUAGGUGAGCGCUCUACCUCUGAGUCAUAACCCCAGCCCCUGGGCAGGGUUUUGAGGGAAUCUAGGCAUGAUGUAAGUAGUCUAGUAGACCCAAGGAAAAUUUUCUUAGUACUUUCUUUUUUUAAUUAGAAUUACUCUUGCAUAAAUUAAAUAAAAAUUGAAAAAUUUCUCUGUUAAAGAAUUUUGAACCAAAUAUGCUGUAAGAGAUGAAAAUGAAUUUCUUAUUGACUAAGUAAUAUAUGCUGGUAUUUCCAGUCUUCUCAGCAAACUCAUCCUAACCCCUACCUCAUUUUAUUUCCACAUAAUUGACAUAGAAAAAAUUGUUCAUAAAUAAUUUUUAAAUACUUUUUUUAGUUGUAGAUGGACACAAUACUUUUAUUUUAUUUAUUUAUUCUUAUGUGGUGCUGAGAAUGAAACCCAGUGCCUCACAUGUGCUAGGCAAGUGCUGUACCACUGAGCUACAACCCCAGCCCCAAAUAAUGUUUUUGUCCCUAGAAUUUAGGAAGCAGUGGUAUAGAACAGUAUUCAACAUUGGUCUUGGGACUGUGGUGGAAACAAAUUCCUGGAGGUACACAAGCACUCAGAUAGCUUAAGUGAGUUAAUUCCCAGAUCUUAAAUCUCUGUGAACUCUUAAAGUUGAUCUUAUGUGAACCAGUCUUUUAAGCAAUUUCUUCUUUGCCACAUGCCUUUCAACUGUGGACCUUUUCCAUUAUACAGAAAAGUGGCCCCACUUUUACGUGUCUCUACUCUUAGCCAGAUGUAUUUGCCUGGCAGUGGGAAACCUUGUGAUGAAAAGGAUCUCAAAACAAUUCCAGGGCACUAGAAGAACAGGGCUGGAUAUCUAAUUGCAAAAUAAUGAGUUGGAUCUCUAUUGCACACCAUGUAUAAAAGUUAAAAUGGAUUAAAUACAUAAAUAUAAGAGCUAAAACCAUAAAAACUUUACAAGAAAAACAUAGGUAUAAAUCUUUGUGAUCUUGGAUUGGUAGUGUAGUGUCAUAUCUGCUUAUUAGAUAUGACAUCAGAAGCCCGAGCUAUCAAACAAAAAAGUAUACAAAUAUGGGAUUUUGUCAAAAUUCAAAACCUAUGUGCAUCAAAGGACAUUGUUAUGAAAAUGAAGAAACAUCCAUAGAUUGGGAAAAUAUAUGCAACUCAUAUAUCGUAUGUAUGGAACUUAUGUCCAGAAUAUAUUUAAAAAAAACUCACUUAUAAUUAACCUAAAAAAAAACCCUGUAAUUUUUAAUUUUUGUUAUUUAUUUAUAUAUUUUUAGUACUGGGGAUUGAACCCAGGGGUGCUUAACCACUGAACCACAUCCCUAGCCCUUUUUAUUUUUUAUUUUGACAUAGGGUCUCCCUCAGUUACCUAGGGCUCGCUAAGUUCCUGAGGCUGGCUUUGAAUUUGUGAUCCUGCUGGCCUCAGCCUCCUGAGCCUAUGGAAUUAUAGGCCAGGGCCACCAUGCCUGGCAUUAACCUCUAAUUUUCAAAUGGGCAAAGAACUUCAAAGAAGAUGUGCAAGUGUAAUUCCAGAGAUUUGGAAGGCAGAGGUAGGAGGAUUUCGAGUUCAAACCAAGCCUCAGCAACUUAGUGAGGCCCUAAGCAACUCAGUGAGACCUUGUCUCUAAUAAAAACUGAAAGAAGGCUGGGGAUGUGGCUCCGUGGUUAAGGACUCCUGGGUUUAAUCCUGAUAACCAAAAUAAUACUUUAAAAAAAUUAUAGUUUUGGACCAAAAUAUCACUAAGAAAAAUCAGUGUAUAGUGAAGGGUAGCUGAAUUUUUAUUUUAUCUGUACCAGGGACAGAAUUUCUGAUUUUUCUUAUUAUACAUUUGCUCAUUGACAGAUCAUUUUUAAAUAUUGUUAGGACAGUAAUUAAUUAAAAAUACUUAACAAUUAUGUAGUAUUGGUGUGUUAGUUUUCUAUUGCUGCUAUAACAAUUACCACAGACUUCAUAUUUUAAAGAACACAAAUGUAUUCUCUUACAGUUCUGGAGAUCAGAAGUCCAGUACAAAUCUCACCAGGCUAUGAUCAAGGUGUCCUCAGCCUAUGUUCCUUGCUGGAAGCUUUCGGGACUGUCUGGGUUUUCUCCUUUCCCAAUUUCUAGAGGCUGACUAUAGUCUUUGGCUUGAGAUUCCCUUCCUGCUCAGAUCUUUAAAUAAGUCAACAUGGUCUCACAAUUCUGACCUUUUGUUCUCUUUUUCUUUAACCACAGUGGGGAAAGGAUCUAUGCUUUUGGGAUUUAUGCCAUUAGAUUGGGCACAAUUGGACAAUCCAGGAUAAUCUCCCCAUCUCAAAUUGUGUACUCUUUUUCUCUCCCAGUUCUGGGAAUUGAAUUCAGGGGCACUCUACCACUGAGCUAAAUUCCCAGCCCUUUUUAUGAGCUAGAGUCUAAUUUGCCCAGAUCAUCCUGGAAUUGGGAAUCCUCUUGCCUCAGCUUCCUAAGUCAGUGGGAUUAUAGGCGUAUACCACUGUGCCCAGCUCAAAUUUUGCAACACAUGUCCAAGAGUUUUUUCUUUUUUAACCCAAAACAUCUCUAUUUUUUUAGUUUUCAAGAAACAAAUUUCUUCCAUUUCCAAGAUAAUCAUGAUUAACUUAGAAAAAUGGUCAUACAUCUUAAAAGCAUUUCCCUUUAACAGGAAAAUUAACUGUAGAGAAUCUAAACACUGCUUUCCAAUUUGUAUUGAAGUGAAAAAUAAUACUUAAGCUAUAGACUAGAGUGUAGGAGACUCCACCAACCUCUUUGUGUUUGUCUCAGAUAGGCUAAUAUGUGAUGUACCUCAUUAAGUUUUUGAGUCAGGUUAAGACAUGCUAAUAGAAGUUUUUUGAAACUUCUAUAUAAAAUUUUAUGGUAUUAAUUUUAGAAUGUCUUAAAGUUUUUGUUAAUGGUGAGAGAGUUCAGUAUAUCCUUUGAUACAUGACUAGCAAAAUUUUUUUUUUUCAGGUUUCUGUUCUUUUUAAAGACUUUUCAGAUUCAUGUAUUUCCUUUAUUAGGGCAAAUGGAAAGAUCUCAGACUUGCAUGAUUCUUUUAGCCACUAGGAUUUAAAAUUCAAAUCUUACCUAGAUUAUUUUUAUUCUUAAUCAUUUCCUCCUCUAAAGAUUGACUUCUUUCCUUUUUCCUUCUUCAUUUCCAUAGUGGGGAUUGAAUUCCUGGGUGAUCUACCACGAGCUAUUUUUUAUUUUGAAACAGGAUAUCACUAAAUUGCUCAGGCUGGUCUGGAAUUUGCAAUCCUCCUGCCUCAGCCUCUGGAGUAGCUGGGAUUACAGACAGAGUCACUGUUACUGUGCCCUGCCUCCUCUGAUUUCUUAGGAACUAAUUACUAUCUUUGUGGUAGAAGCAAAACCAAACAAAAACAAGAAACCACCACCACCACCAACAACAACAACAAAACUAAAUCCACCUUGGAUUAGUACAACAAAUGGUUCUUAAAACCUGGGCUAAUACAGGAGGCUAAGGCAGGAGGAUAGAUUCAAUCUCCAGUCACAAAAGAAAACAAAACAGAAAUCUUAGUUUUUUUUCCCCUCCCCUCUUUAUGGACUGGGGAUUAAACCCAGGGUCUUAUGAGUGCUAGGUUAGUGCUUUACCAGUGAACUACAUUCUCGCCCCUUUUAAAUUUUAUUAUCAGACAGGGUUUUGCUAAAUUGCCCAAGCUGGUCUCGAACUUGUGAUCCUUCUGUCUCAGCCUACCGAAUAGUUGGGAUUAUAGGUGUGCCCCACUAUGCCCUGCUCCUGAAUUACAUUUUAAAUUUUGCAUAAAAUAAUCUUAUUCAAGUUGCAAAUCUUUAUAAUUGCCUCGUCUGUGUAUCCAGUGUGUGACCUCCAAAAUAUUGUCAGAGUAAGCAAAAAUCAUUUUUUAAGAAUUUGAUUUUGUGCACUCCCCCUUACACUGUAAUAGUGAAUAAAUCUUUUCCUCUUUAGCAUCACAAAGAUGCUAUUUUGAGGGGUUGAAUUACUUUCAGAAUGUUGAUGUGAAAGGAAAGAGAUCAGGUUACACAUUCUUUGUUCCAGACUGCCACUGUACUUCAAGUUUGGAGCUGCACUGGGGAAGAUAGAAUAUGCAUUUGCCACAAAAUCUUCCACCCUACCCCUACUUGAGGAGCAAGAGAAUUAGGCAGUUUCUCUGACAUGGCCUACCCUAAAGAGAACGAGUUUAACUUUAGUAUUUGUAGAACUUGCUACUUAUUUUUUCUUUUAGAGUCUUUAAUUUUAUAUAAUUUAGCAUUUCAAGAAGUCAGAAGAUUAUAUCUUUGUAUUAGGAGAUAUUUUAAAAAUGAUAAUGUUAUUUUGAGAAUACUUAUAUUUUAAUAAUGCAGUUAAACAAAUUUACUUCUAAUUUAUAUUGAAUAAAUUGAGAGUAUAUAAAAUUAUAUUUUGAAUAAAAUAUUACUGUCUUGGCAUAAAAUAGAAUUACUUAUAUGUUUCAAAACUGGUAGUAAAAAGUUCCCAAAGCAGAUGCAGUAUUUCUUUUGUUUCUUUGAUGCUGUUAGAUAAAUGAAGACUUUAAAAAGAGUUUUCACAUAAAAAUUUUCAUAAAAAAUUCCUGUGCCAUAUUCUGAAUGAUAAUUUGACUGUUUAUGGUAUAAUUUUUCUCAGUUCAGUUUCAAUUAGAGUAUAAACUUUUUAAUCUUUAAGGAAUCAUUUAAACAAUUUUAGUUAUUAAAAUUUGAAUGUUAUUCUUUAAUUUUUUUUUUUUUUUUUUUUACUUAUAGAUGGACACAGUGUCUUUACUUUUUUAAUUGAUUUAUUUAUUUUUAUAUGGUGUGAUGCUGAAGAUUGAACCCAGGGCCUCACACAUGUGAGGCAAGCACUCUACCAUUGAGCUACAACCCCAGCCUCUGAAUGUUGUUCUUAAAACUGUCUUUACAUGCAACUGGUCCCAUUUCUGAGAGUUUAAGAAGCUUAAAUAUUGUUUGUGAAGUGAUUAUAUCUGUAUUAAACAUUAUAAGUCCAUUAAGAAGUACUCAAGUUUUUAUUCUAGGUAAUUUUAAGUAUUAUUUAUUUUCAUCAGUUUACUACUUUUCUGAAGAAAGUCAAUAUAAUUACUAACAAAAUUAAUUGUACCAUUCUUUUAAAAAAUAUUUAUUUUUUAGUUGUAGAUGGACACAAUACCUUUAUUUCACUUGUUUAUUUUUAUGUGGUGCUGAGGAUCAAACCCAGGGUGAGGCAGCGCUCUACAGCUGAGCCACAAACCCAGUUCCUAAUUGUAUCAUUCUUUGUAACAAUCUUUUUUUUUUUUUUAAAGAGAGAGAGAGAGAGAGGAGAGAAUUUUUUAAUAUUUAUUUUUUAAUUCUCGGCGGACACAACAUUUUUGUUUGUAUGUGGUGCUGAGGAUCGAACCCGGGCCGCACCCAUGCCAGGCGAGCGCGCUACCGCUUGAGCCACAUCCCCAGCCCUGUAACAAUCUUUUUAAUGUUUUGAGAUUAGGUGCUGUAUUUUCUUAACAGGAUAUUAUACCAGUACACUUCCAAAAGAGAAAACAUACAGCUAAUAAAACUAGUUGGUAGGUUUUGGGACUUGAUACUUUGUUUUGUCCUGCUCACACAGGUUUUAUUCUCUCUAGCUCAUGAUUUAGUUAUAAUUUAUUUACACAUUUUUGCCCAAUGAUUUGCUGUCAUACUUGGUUUUCUGUGUUGUGGUUCCAAUUCUCUAGCUUUGUCUUUACUUCUCUUUUAUGCUUUAUCCCUUCUGUCUCCCUGCAUAUUUAGUAAGUCCCAGCUUUACCUCCUCCAUGAAACCUUAUUUUCAAAUCUGGGCUCUUGGUAAUUUCUUCCUUUUCUGUGCUUUGGUAGAGUAUAUAAUGCCAGUAUGUACUAUCAUUUUUCUUCUUGCUUAUUUGUUUCAUGUCUUUAAUGUGAUUUUAAAUAAUGAUACUAGCUACUGUUUGUAUACCCGAUAUAUGCCAACUACUGUGUCAUUAUUGUUGUUAUUAUUAUUAUUUGGUAUCAGGGAUUGAACCCAGGGAUGCUAAACCACUAAAUCACAUCCCCAGCCCUUUUAAUAUUUUAUUUAGAGACAGGGUCUAGCUAAGUUGCUUAUGGCUUUGCUAAAUUGCUGAGCCUGACUUUUGAACUUGCAAUCUUCCUGCCUCAGCCUCCUGAGCUGCUGGGAUUAUAGGCAUGGACCACUGCAUCUGGCUACUGUGUCAUUAUUAUGGAUUUUUAAAAUAACCGGGUAGGGUAGGUAUUGGCAUACAUCUGAGGAAAUUCAGAGCCAGCUACACUGUGCCAGAGUUUAGUCACACAUUUUUCUCUUUGGCUUCCUUCACACAUAUUUGGUAUCUUAAAACAUUAGAUGUUUAAUAAAUUUGAGAUGAUUACUUGACUCAGUUUGGUUUACUUUUUAUAAAAGAUGGUUUUUGAAGGGGUGAGAGAAAUAGUCUUAGAAUUUGUGAAUUUUUCUUUCAAGUUGCAUAGUUUUGUCAAGCAACACCGUGGGCUUUUCUUCUAAACUUCCAUGUGCCUAAAUGUAAACCUGUUCCAGAAAGACUGAAGUGUGGUUCCCUAUCAUGCCAAGAAAUCUGUAUACUGAAUGAUGCAGGAAGGUGUUUGAAACUGAGUAGUGAGAAUAGGUUUGUGCUAUAGGAUAUAUUGUUUAAAUUAUUAAGAUAAUAUAAUUUAUGUUUAAAAUUCAAUAUAGGUAAACCUGAUAAAUGGGAAAAAUGGAGGUAAUUUCAGGAAAAAUUUAAAAAAUUUUUGAAUCUUCAAAACUUUGUACAUUUGCUGUUAUUUAGAUUUAAAAAAUCAUUAAUUGGGUUAGAGUUGUGGCUCAUUGGUAGAGCGCUCGCCUCACAAGUGCGAGACCCUGGGUUCGAUCCUUAGCACCACAUAAAAAUAAAUAAGUGAAAUAUAGAUAUUGUGUCCAACUUCAACUAAAAAAAUAUAAAAAAUCAUUAAUUGCUAAUGAAAUUUGAGAUACAUUUUUGACAUCUUGUAUUUCAUUGAAGAUCAUGAAUGCUUUAUAUCAUUCUUAUAAGAAUCAUAUUUUUAAAACUUGAAGAUCAUUCCUUUUUUGGUGUCAGUUUUUUACUAGUUAUAUUCUACUUUAGGAUUUGCUUUUGUAGCUUCCUAACCUGGCAUUUUUGUGUCUUUUAAAAAAACCAAGUAAUUGGACCAUUUAUCACAAUCUGCCUACUUAAAAAAAAAAAAUACUAGUAUUGGGGCUGGGGUUGUGGCUCAGCGGUAGAGCGCUCGCUAGCAUGUGAGAGGUCCUGGGUUCAAUCCUCAGCACCACAUAAAAAAAUCAAUAAAUAAAAUAAAGGUAUAAAAAAAUUAAAAAAACUAGUAUAAAAUUCUUUUGCAUGUUAUCUGUAAAAGGAGCAUUUUAAUCAUUCUGUCCACAUUUGAUAAGUGUUGCUGAUUUUUUAAAAAAAAUUAAGUUAUAUAAUGUGCUUUAAUUUUUUAAACGUUCAUUGAACUUUGGACUUAAAUCAUGUCAAGGGUUUUACUUUUUAAAAUACUGAGGUUUAUUAUUUGUGUGAGUGUCUUAAUUGAAAAAUGAAUGGCUUCAAAAACAUCAAAAUAGAGCUGGGUGCUUGGUUGUGCAUGCCUAUAAUUUCAGCUAUUAAGAAAGUUGAUGCAGGAUUACACGUUUGAGGCCAUUGGGGGCCUUUUUGAGAUCUAUCUCAAAAAUAAAAUGAAAAGUGCCAAUGAUGCAGUUCAGUGGUAGAGAACUUACCUACUACACGCUGGGUCCUGGGUUCAAUCUCUAAGUCUGCCAAAAAAAAAAAAAAGAGAGAAAAAGAUCAAAAUUGAAGACCUGCACAUAGAACCAUACUUUAGGACAUAUAUGCAUAAAAUUAUGUAUUUAUAGCCAGGCAUGGGGGCCCAUACCUGUAAUCCCAGCUUCUCUGGAGGUAGAGGCAGGAGGAUCGUGAAUUCAAAGCCAGCCCUAGCAACUUAGCAAGGCCCUAAGCAACUCAGAGAGACCCUCUUUCUAAAUAAUAUACAGAAAAGGGCUGGGGAUAUGACUCAGCAGUUAAGUGCCUCUGGGUUCAAUUUCUGGUACCAAAAAAAUAUGUAUAUAUGUGUGUGUGUGUUUAUAAGAUAUUAAUGUAAACUUCAGAUUCUGUAAUAUUUUAAGGAAACCACUUCAUUUUAACAGAGCACUUUGUGUGUUUAUACAUUGGUGCUGGGGCAUGUGCUUUACUGCUGAACUACAACCCCACCCCCAGUUGGUCUUUCUACUUUUCUAGUUACAUUGAGAUUUUGCCCAGUAAUGUCGUUUUGCUUAAACCUACACACAUCAAAGCUAUCUAGCACCCUGUUUUAAGUCUGCUUCGUGGCAUUUAUUUUAAGUGUAAUUUAAUUAGAACUUGCAUGCACAUUUCUUUUAGAUCUGCUUCCAUUCUUAGGAACUGUAAACUCCAUGUGAGUGGGGAAUUUUACUUGGGUUGUCAUGUUAGGGGCCUGGCACACUGCCUUGUCUAGCAUAUGUACUUUGCAGCAGCAGGCAGUACUUUUCUGUAGUCUUCUUUAAUUAUAUUAAUAAAAGAGCUUUGGUUUUUGCAAGGUUUUUAGAGGCUCUGGAGAGAAACAUUAAUCAAUAAGAUCUAACUUGAAUUAAUUGUUUUAAAAAUACCUGACUAAUGAUAUAAUGAACAGAGAAUAUUAAUGAAAUAAGAAUUUAAGGAGUCAAAGUUAAGUUUUUUUGUUUGUUUUGUUUUGGUGGAGGAGCUUGAACCAGGGGUGCUUAACCACUGAGCUAUAUCCUCAGCCCUUUUUAUUUUGAGACAGGGCCUUGCUCAAUUGUUGAGAGACUCAUUAAAUUGCUCAGGCUGUCCUUGAAUUUGCAGUCCUCCUGCCUCAGCCUUUGAGUCACUAGGAUUAUGUGUACCUCUAUGCCCCACUGAAGUUAAGGUUUUAAUAUCUUUACUUGGCCAGGUAUGGUGGUACAUGCUAUAAUCCCAUUAUUGUCUAUGGAGAUCAAGGCAGGAAGAUUGCAAGUUCGAGGCGAGCCUGGGUAAGUUAAUGAGAUUCUGUCUCAAAAUAAAAACAUAAAACAAACAUGUAGCUUGGUGGUAGAGUGCCCCUGGAGAUAUAGCUCGAUGGUAGAGUACCCGUGGUUAGUCUCUGAUACCACAAAAACAAAAAAACAUAACAAAACAUACACACAUACUCAAAAAAACCAAAACCACACACACAUAACAACAACAACAAAAUCCCCCAAACCUUUACUUUGUAACACCAUGGGCUUUUUCUUCUAUUGUGAUUUAAGAUGGUUGUAAUUGUUCAUUAUUGAUGAUACCUAUCAAAAGGCGAGCUUGAACAACCAUUUCUGCUGGAUUCUGAAUGCUGAGAAACAGAAACUGAACUUUGUGAACUAUUACAAGUCAUCUGUAAAAUGAGAUAAUAAAAUUGACUUCUCAAAGUGUAAUUUAGACUUUCAUGGAAUACCAUAGUCUGAAAAUGCUUAGCAAUGUGCCUGUCACACUGUAGGUGUUUUAUAAAUGUUAAUUGUCAUAAAUUUGCUAGGUAUAAGAAAAUGUCUUUCCUCAAAAGCAAUUGUAGUUGGGUGAGGUGGCCCAUGCCUGUAAUCCCAGUGGCUCAGGAGGCUGAGACAGUAGAAUCUCGAGUUCAAAGCCAACCUCAGCAAAAGCGAGGUGCUAAGCAACUUAUUGAGAACCUGUCUCUAAAUAAAAUACAAAAUGGGGCUGGGGAUGUGGCUCAGUGGUUGAGAGUUCCUGAGUUCAAUCCCCAGCAUCCCCCUCCUCCAAAAAAAAAAAAAAAAAAAAGCAGUUGUAAAUUUAAAAAUGAAUUUGCUGCCCAUCUCAAACCUAUAUAAAAAUAUGGUAUUUAACUUUUAAAAAGAUGUUUAAUAGCAAUUGUUGUUGGCAGGUCUUUUAGCUCCACUUUGAGUCUUUGCAUUGUGUAUAAUAUGGAAAGACUUGGAAUAAAUGUAUGGGCCAGGGCAGCUUAUAUAAAAAUGCUAAAUAAUUUUCAGUGUGGCUGAUAAAAAUUUAGAAGUACCACUGCUUGGUGUGGUGAUACAUGACUAUAAUCCCAGCAGCUUCAAGAAAAUAAAAAAGAGUAUCAUUUAGUUUGUUCAUGAAAUCUAUGAGAAUUUUGACUAUUUCUAUACUUUGUUUGGUCUAUUCAUUGGUUCAUUCCUAUCAGAAGUCUCUAAUUGAGCCUUGUAUCUUGUAGAAAUUGUAAGGAAAAGAAACUAUUUCUUAACAAGCUGGUACCCUUUAUCUCCUUACUUGGUAUCCAGAUGUUUAAGGGAAUGAUCUAUCCACAAAACUUGCCUUUUUUUUUUUUUUUAACUGUUUAAAAUCCUCCAUCCACUCUUCUUUUUCCUUUUUUUUUGGUACCGGGGAUUGAACCCAGGCUACUUUAUCACGGAGCUACAUCCCAGCUUCCCCCCUCCCCUUAAAAUUGUUGUAAAUGUACACAACACCUCCAUUUAAUUAAUUACUUAAUUUUUAUGUGGUGCUGAGAAUCAGACCCAGUGCCUCAUACUUACUAGGCAAACGCUCCACCACUGUGCUAUACCCCCAGCCCCAGCCUAGCUUGUGUUUAUUUUUUUAUUUUGAGACAGGGUUUCACUGAGAACUGCUGUGGCUGGCUUUGAACUGGAUGGCUUUGAACUUGCAAUCCUUUUGUCUCAGCCUUCCAAGCUACUGGGAUUAUAGGUAUGCCACCAUGCCCAGCUCCUAUCCCAUUUCAUAUGCUACCUGUCCCCCCCACCCCCGCGCCUUGUUUGUGUUAUUGAUGGCCUCCAUGGUACCAGAUUUUCUGUCCUAUGUCUUUCAGCCUCUCAGUAGCUUUUAACACAACUAGCACCUCUGCACCAGACUCUUAGCCACUGUGGCAUGAUGCUGUUGCCUUCUGUAUCUUUUAUUAUGGUCCAGGUAGUGGUGAGGGACAAUCUAAAUCAGAACUAAGGAUUGUAUCUUGCUGGCUUCCACCCUUUUUCUGAAGUCUUUAAGCCUGUGUAUAGUCAGUAUCAUAAUUUAGGUCUUAUUCCGUACACCCUGCAUUUUGAGCUAAUUUAUGAAAUGACAAGAGAAUUUGGAAAGUAAAAAUAACUGUGUUAAAGAAUCUAAAUUACAUUUGGAAUAAUUCUUGCCUCUAUGUUGCAGAUACAAAUGCUUAAAUAACUGUGAUGGACAGGGAAAAGAUACUAGGAAUUUGACAUGAAUUAUCACAUUUAAAUAAACAGCGUUUUUUUUUUUUCUCCCUAGAGGAAAAUUGUGGUUACAACAUGUGAUUGAACCUGUCUAGUUUCAAGUAGUGUUCAGAUUCAGAUUCAGUGGUUCAAGCUUGAAAGAGAAACAGGAAAAAAGAAGUUCUUGCAGGUGCUUCUCAUUCUUUAAUCUAGAAUAUUAGUUUUAAUUAAUUAAAAAAUAUGCAUCUUAAUAUUUUUUAAAAAUAUUUUUUAGUUGAAGUUGGACACAAUACCUUUAUUUUAUUUAUUUUUAUGUGGUGCUAAGGAUUGAACUUAGGACCUCGCACGUGCUAGAUGAGUACUCUACCGCUGAGCCACAACCCCAGCCCCACAUUUUAAUAUUUGAAUAUCAGUUAGUCAGAAGUUACCUGGAUUUUAGAUCAGUUUUUUCAUUCCAACUAAAGCUAGCAGUCACAGAAUUAUGAGGGGGGGAAAGUACUUUUAUUACUAGUUAUUAUAAGAACUCAGUUGUCAAAUCAGAGUUGAAAAUUAUUCUUUUUAAAAUGAAGUCAUUUGAGUAGAAUAAAAUAUUCUCACAGUAACUACCCUAGCCACAACUCUAAAGCAGGACAUGUCCCUGGCUUAUUAAGAUUGCUACAUUAAAACAAAAAUUUAUUAUGCAUUGUUAAGUUUAAUAACAAUUUACAUCAGCCUUUUUCUUUUUUGUUUCUGCUUUUGAUCUCAAACUUAAAAAUUUCUUCCCCAUUGCAAUAGUGUUUUCAAGGUCUUAUAUAAUCUUAGAUUUUACAUUCAAACCGUCUAUCUGGAAUUAAUUUUGUUGCAUGAGGUAAGGAUCCAUUUUUUCCCCCAAGUGGUUAGAAUAUUUCUCUCAAUAUCAUGGGGCUGGGAUUGUGGCUCAGUGGUAGAGCGCUCGCCUAGCAUGGGCGGGACCUGGGUUCCUCGAUCCUCAGCACCACAUAAAAAUAAAGGCAUUGUGUUGUGUUAAUCUACACCUAAAAAAUAAAUAUUAAAAAAACCAAUACAUUGUGUCGAUCUAAAAUGUUGCUUUUAUUAUAUUCUUCCAUAUAUGUAGAUUUACUUUUGGUUUCUUGACUGUGGAAUCACUAUAUUAGUAAUCUUUCAGUACAUUUUAUUAUUUGGUAAGGUAAAAAUAUUUGUUACCUUUUCAAAGAUUGAGGAUAUUUUACUUUGUUUUUUCAAAUGUCUUUAUAGCAUUCUUUGGGUUUGAUUUCAUUCAAAAAUGUUAACAUUUCUAUAUUGGUUUAGACAGAACUGCCCUUUUUAUAGAAUGUAAUUUUUUAAUUAAUAAAAUGGCAUGCCUCCUUUCAUUAAUUUUUUUUUCUUGAUACUGGGGAUUGAACCCAGGGGUUCUUAAACACUGGGAUACAUCCCCAGUCCUUUUUUAUUUUUUAUUUAGAGACAAGGUCUCUCUGAGUUGCUAAGUGCCUCGCUAAUCUGCUGAGGCUGGCUUUGACUCGAGAUCCUCCUGACUCAGCCUCCCGAGUUGCUGGGAUUACAGGUGUGAUCCACUGUGCCUGGCUUCAUUAGUCUUUUUGACUUUAAAUAGUUUUAUAGUUUUUCUUACAUAUGUUGGGAAGCUAUUAUAAGGGAGAUCAUUUUUCCAUUAUAUUUUGUAAUCAGUUUUUGUUAGUACACAGGCAACUUAUCAAUUGUACAUUAAACCAUUCAGUGUAUUCUAUUCUUUAGUAUCUGUUUGCAGUUGGAUUUAAUUUAUACAAAAUGCACUCAUUGUAAAGAUAAUUCAUUGAGUUCGGUUAGUUUUUAAAUACCAUGUGGCUUUCUUUAUAGUGCAAGGUUUGGUUUCUUCAAUCAUUUUGUGAAGAUAAGUGAAUAACAACCUAAGUAUUUGUGUAUUUUUUACUUAUUUAUUUAUUUUGGGCAUGGGGAUUGAACUGAAAGGCACUCAACUACUGAGCUACAUCCCCACCCUAUUUUGUAUUUUAUUUAGAGACAGGAUCUCCCUGAGUUGCUUCGUGCCCUGUUUUUGCUGAAGCUGGCUUUGAAUUGUGGUCCUCCAGCCUUAGUCUUCUGAGCCACUGGGAUUACAGGCAUGUGCCAUCUUGCCCUGCAUAUUUGGUUUUUAAAUCAUCUUUAUUUGGUAAAAGUAUAUCUCAGAUCUGUAAACAGUUUUAAAUUUACUUUAGCAUAAAGAUCUUUUUUUAUCUUUAACUCUCUAAUAUGUUCCUUUGUCUGUUUUGACUGAGAAUAGUAGAACUUCAUUACCUUGCUGUUGGAGAGACUAGCCAUCCAAAAUCAAAGUGGCAUUAGAACUGUGCAUGGAUCUGUUCCUGACCUCUUUUCUAACUUCUAGUAAUCUCAGUCAUUUCUUGAGUUUUAGAAUCUGUCUCUCUUUAUAAGUCUGUGUUUAAAUGUCUUUUUUAAAAAUUAGGAUACCAGUCAUUGGACCAGGGUUCACUCUUAAUAACCUCAUUUUAACUUGAAACUCUUGAUUACCUAUUUCCACAUAAGGUCAAAAAGGUUAGGACUUCAACAUAUGAUUCUGAUUAUUUAUGUUUUUAUUUUUACUUGUUAUUUUGAAAUAAUUUUAUAUUUAGGAAAGAGAUAGGAAUAGCAUUGUGAACUCCCAUAUUCUCCGUUCAGAUUCACAUAGUUAACAUUUUUUCUACAUUUAUUAUGUCUGUUAAAGUUUGUGUAUAAGAAAUAUUUGGCUGUUAGUACUGGCAAACUCACCAAGGUUUCUGAAGUUAAGCUGUACGCUCAAGAAUGUAUUUCAUCAAUCCUAAAAUGCAUUUAACUGUGUAAUUAACAGGUAUAGAAAUAUCAAUAUUCUGUGUCCCAAAAAAGUGAUGCCAGUUAAACAGUGAUAUGCUGCUUUUAAGAGGCAUACUGAUUUCACAAUAGGGUUGAUGAAUCAUUUGGAGUCAAUAAAAUAUAAAAAUGCAUCAUUGAAAUAUAUAUAAUAGAAUGCAUAUUUAAUAUAUGUGCAUAUAUGUAUAUAUAUGUGUGUGUGUAUAUAUAUACACACACACACACACUUUAGAAAUUUAAUUUUUAGAGUAGUUUUCGGUUCAAAAGCAAAAUUGAACAAUACAAAGUUUCCACAUACCUGUACUCACAUAUGCAUAAGCCACCACUGCCCUAUUAUUAGUAUCUCACACCAGAAUGGCGCAUGUUACAGUUGAUAACCUACAUUGACACAUCAUUACUAUGCAGUGUCUAUAGUUUAAAUUACAGUUCAUUCUUGAGAGUAUAACUUAAAGUGUCUUGACAAAUGUAAAAUGACAUGUCCUCCAUUGUAGUACUAUACAGCCUAAUUUCAACUACCCUAAAAAUUCUCUGCUAUGUUUAUUUUCCCUUCUUCUCUUCAUCCCUGGCAACCAUUGAUCCUUUUUAACUUCUCCAUAGUUUUAAUAUUUCCAAAAGGUCACAAUUGCAAUCACAACUCCAUUGGAUUCUUUAAUGUAGAAAUACACAUUUAAGUUUCCUCCGGUGUCUUUUUGCGGCAUUUAUUUUCAGUGCUGAGUAGUAUUUCAUUGUCUGGAUAUAUCACAGUUUAUCCACUUACCUAGAGAAGGACUUCAUGGUUACAUCCAAGUUUGGCAAAUUAUGAAUAAAACAGCAAUAAAUUUCUGUGUACAGGUUUUUACAUGGAUAUAAGCUUUCAGCUCCAUUAUGUUAAACACCAAGGAAUGCGGUUGCUGGAUCAGAUAGCAAGAGCGUGCUUAGCAUUUUAAGAAACUGUCAAAACUAUCUUCCAAAAAGGAUGUAACAUUUUGCAUUUCUACCAGCAGUGAAUGAGAGCUCCUUUUGCUCCAUAUCCUUGCCAGCUUUUGAUGUUGUCAGUGUUCUGGAUUUUGGUUGUUCCAUUGCAUGUGUAGUGGUAUCUGUUUUUGGUUGAUGAUAUAUGGAGCUUCUUUUCAUAUGCUUAUUUGCCAUCUGUAUGUCUUCUUUGGUGAGGUGUCUGUUAAGACUUUGGUAUCCCCCGCUUUUUUUUGGUAUUGGGGAUUGAACCAAGGGGCACUUAACCGCUAAGCUACAUCCCCAGCCCUUUUUUAUUUGUAUGAUUUUGAGCUGGGUCUCACUAAGUUCCUCAGGGCCUUGCUAAGUUGCUGAGGCUGGCUUUGAACUUGUGGUCCUCCUAUCCAACCUUUCAAGUUGCUGGGAUUGUAGGCUUGUGUCAUCUUGCACAGCCCCAGUUUUUUUUUUUUCUUUUAGGAUGUUAAUGGACCUUUAUUUUAUUGAUUUAUUUAUAUGCGAUGCUGAGAAUCGAACCCAGUGCCUCACACAUGCCAGGUAAGAGCUCUACCACUGAGCCGUAACCCCAGCCCCAAGUUUUUUGUUUUUUUUUUUUAAUAUUUGAACAACCAGCCCCAGCUUUUAAUUGUGGUGUUUGUUUUCUUAUUAAGUUUUAAAAAUUCUCUUGAUAUUUUGGAUAAUAGUCCUUUAUCUGUGGUGUCUUAAUACAGAUAAUUUUUCCUAGUCUGUGGCUUGUUGUCUUAUUCUCUUGACAGUGUCUUUUAUGGAACAGAAAUUUUAUAAUUUUAAUGAAGUCUAACAUUAAGUAUUUCAUGAAUUGUACAUUUCCAAUCUGUAUAAUUUUUAUUUCCUUUUCUUGGCUUUUUACAUUAAUUAGAACUUGCAGUAUGGUGUUGAAAAGGAUUGGUAAAAGGUGACAUCUUUGCCUUGUUCCUGAUCUCAUUAUAAAGCUUUUUUAAAUUUCUCACCAUUAAGAAUGUUAAGAUAUAGGUUUUGUAGCUGUUUGUCCAUUUAAGGAAUUUCCCCUCUGUUGCUGGUUUUCUGAGAGGUUUUUUAUUUGUUUGUUUUGUACUGGGGAUUGAAUCUAGGGGAACUCUACCAGUGAGCUAUAUUCCCAGCCCUUUUGAUUUUUUGUUUUGAGACAGGAUCUCCCUAAAUUGUUCUGGCUGGCCUAGAAUUUAUAAUCCUCCUCCCUCAGCUUCCCUAGUUGUUGGGAUUAUAGUCAUGUGCCACCAUACCCAGUGUUUUCUGAGAGUUACUAUGAAUGAGAGUUGGAUUUUGUCAAAUGCUUUUUCUUUUUUUUCUUUCUCUUUCUCUUUGGCACGGUCUUACUGUGUUUCCCAGGCUGGUCUUGAACUCCUGGGUUCAAGUAAUCCUCCUGCCUCAAUCUUUUAGAUAGCUGGUACUAUAGAUGUGCCCUACUGUGCCUGGCUUGUCAGAUGCUUUUUCUGCAUCUGUUGAAAUGAUUGUGUUGCUUUGCAUCUUCUUCUUCUUCUUCUUUUUUUUUUUAAAUAUUUAUCAUUUUAGUUUUAGGUGGACACAGUAUCUUUAUUUUUAUGUGGUGCUGAGGAUCGAACCCAAUGCCUCAUGCAUGCUAGGUGAGCGCUCUACCACUGAGCCACAACACCAGCCCUGUUUUGCUUCUUUAAUUGGUUGAUAUGGUUGAUUUCAUUAACUAGGUUUUUGUUGUUGUUGUUGUUGUUGUUGUUGUUGUUUGGCAUUAGGAAUUGAACCCACAGGUGCUUUACCACUGAGCUACAUCCCCAGCCCUUUGUAUUUUUUAUUUUGAGUUGGGUUUUGCUAAGUUACUUAGGCCUUGCUAAAUUGCUGAGGCUGGCCUCUAACUUGAGAUCUCUGGCCUCAGCUUUCCAAAUUGUGGGAUUAAAGGUGUGCAUCACCAUGCCCAGCACAUGGAUUGAUUUUUGAAUGUUGAGUUGUCCUUGAAUAAUGGGUAUACAUUCUACUUGUAUAAAAUUCUUUUUAUAGGUUGUUGAAUUUGAUUUGCUGUUUUAUUGAGGAUUUUUGCAUUUGUGUUCAUGAGAAUCAUGAACAUCUUGUAACAUCUUGGUCUGGUUUUAGUAUUAGUAUAAUGCUGGCCUUAUGGAGUCAAUUAGGAAGCAUUCCCUCUGUUUCUGUCUCUUGAAAAGAACUUACAGAGAAUUGGUAUAAUUUCUUCCUUAAAUGUUUGAUGGAAUUCACCAGUGAGCCUUUUGGGCAUAAUGAUUUCUGUUUUGGAAGAUUAUUAUUCCAAUUUCUUUCUUUCUUUCUUUUUUUUAAAAUAUUGUUAGUUGUAGACACAAUAUCUUUAUUUGUUUUUCAAUGUGGUUCUGGGAAUUGAACCCAGUGCCUCACACAUACUAGGCAAGCGCUCUACCAUUGAGCCACAACCCCAUCCCUAUUUUAAUUUCUUUAAUAGAUAGGGCUGUUCAGAUUGUGUAUGUCUUGUGUGAGUUUUGCCAAAUUAUGUCUUUCAUAGAAGUGCUCCAAGUCAUCAUAUUGGUCUGUUAUUAAAUUUCUGGGUGUAGAGUUGUUUAUAAGUUAAGUAUCUUUUAUCCAAAAUAUUUAGGACCACAAGUAUUUUGGUUAUUGGAAUAUUUGCUUAUAUAUAAUAAGAGAUCUUGGGGAUAGGACUCAAGCCUAAACAGAAAAUCAUUAGUUUCUUAUAAACUUUACUUGCAUAACCUGAAGAUAGUUUUACAUGAUAUUUUUUUUAAAAGAAACUUAUAUUCUUUUUUUUAAAUAUUUAUUUUUUAGGUAUAGAUGUAGUGCUGAGGAUCGAACCCGGGUCUCUCCUGUGCUAGGAGAGCGCUCUACCGCUGAGCCACAAUCCCAGCCCUUUACGUGAUAUUUUUAACAUGCUUACACUAUGAACCCUUCAUCUGCCAGAUGCUCAGCCUGUAUUCCUUUAUCAUCUUUAUAGUAAUGUACGUUUAGAGAGAAUCUGUGGUUCUGUCUCCUUUCAUUUCGAUAUUUGUAGUUUGUGCCAUCAUUUCCCCCCUUAGUUAUCCUAGCUAAAGGCUUAUCAAUUUUGUUGAUCUUUUCAGAGAAUCAGCUUUUGGUUUUGUUCAUUUUCUCUAUUCCUGUUUUCAUUAGCAUUAAUUUCUGAUUUUUAUUAUUUGCUUUCUACUGUUUACUUUGGAUUUAAUUUGCUCUUCAUUUCUAGUUUCCUAAAGUGGAAGCUUCAGUUGAUUUUAUUUUUUUCCCCCAGUAUAUGCAAUUCAGUAUUAUAAAUAUGAAUUAUAUUCUCAUAUUUCUGAGUUUCUCUAUUUCUAAUGUUGUUUUCAUGUUUAUAUAAUCUUAAUGUUUUUUGUUUGGGGAUAGUAGGUUAUACUUCUUAACUGUUUCGUGUGUCUGCCCUUCUGGCAUGCUUUCAGUUGUCUGUAGAGAUGUCAUUUUCUCCCUUGUCUACCCUGCCUCCCUUCUUAUAAUAAAUUGUAUGAGUGUGGAUAUGAAAAAUUUAAUGGGUCAUUUUUAUUGAAAAUAAAUUUUUCUGAAAUUUUUGGAGAAGACAUGUGAUACAGGGCAGCAUUUCUAACUUCACAGAAUUAUUUGGGGUGAUAGUAAAAAGGUGGUAGGUUGCCUUUCCAGAUCUCCCGGUUCUGUUAACUGCGUAUCACUUUUAUGUGGGCCUCGUCUAUCCUUUGUUUCUGUUGCACCUUUCCUGCUCAAAUUUGUUUUUCUUCAGUGCAAGACUUUGUCCUACAAAGGAGGUCUUGUUGGUCAUUUUUGAAGUUCAAAAGGGCUUGACUGCUGCAUCCACUUCAAACCUUAUGACCUUACAGGGCCAUUUGCUAUCAUCUUCAACUGAAUUGAUCAAUUUUCCUAUUCUCAGUUUCAUCUGCAUUUUCACAUUUACUCAUUGAAUAUUCCAGUGAAUACUUCUUUGCUGUUUUGCUGGUAUAAGGACAUGCAAGAGGCAAAGUAGUCCUUACCCUAUCAAGGCCCCAAAAUUGCAGGUAUGACUUUUCUUUAAAAUUGGAGAUAACAGUUCAGCCUAAAAACUGACUUAAAAAUCUGUAUAAGAAACAGUGAUACCCUGGACUUAUUAGCCCCUUUACUGAAUGCUGUCCAUACAGCCAAGUGCCUCUUUGGGGUAAUGGCUUUCUAGUUCUCAUUCACAUUAUUUUCCUUUCAUACUAAGCCUGAGGGAACAUUUAAUUUCUUUACCCCUUGAAGUUAGAUAGGAUCAUGUGACUGAUUCUGGGUACUGGAUUUUGAGGGAAAAUUGUGUUACUUCUGGGUAGGCAUAGUAAAAAGUUCAUGAAGAUUCUCUCUCUCUCUCUCUUUUUUUUUUUUUUUUUGUUGUUUUCUUGAUACAGGGCAAGAUGGUCCAGACUGGAAAUAGACCUGCUUGAUGUCAUUAUACAUAUUACAUGAGUCAAAGUUUUCUUAUGUUGAGUCAUUGAAAUUUUGGAGUUAUAAACACAGCUAUCUGAUAGCCAUCAACCACAUAUGUCUAUUGAGCCUUUGAAAUGUGGGCAGGCCUGAUUGAGAUGUGCUGUAAGUUUAAAGUACAUACCAGAUUUAGAAGACUUACGUAUGCAAAAAAGACUAAAAUAUCUUCUUAAUAAUUUUCAUAUUGAUUACAUAUUGAAAUGAUCUUAGAUCAGCUGGGCUAAAUAAAAACAUUAAGUCAAUUUCAGCUUUUUCUCUAAUUUUUUUCCUGAGGCUGCAUUGCUAGAAAAUAAAAAAUUACACAUUUCUUUUAAAUAGCACUAACCCUACCUGGAGUAAAUUAGUACUCCAUCUCAUCUUGGUAGAAAAUGGUAACUGUUUAUCUAGAGAAGCCAAGCCAGUGGUGGUCCAGAUUUGUAAAGAGUAUAGAAAAUCAAUACACUUUAAGCAGAGGUUAAGCAAAAGCCUACCACUGAUUCAGGAGAUAUACCCGCUUCUCUUAAUUUCUGUCCCAUAUCCCUUUGUAUUUGUUUGCAGAGCACUGGAGGUAUACGCUCCAUCUAGGAGAUUGGAGGAGUCUUCUAAGAAAUUGAAUGGCUCCAGGGAAGAAAUCAACAAAGUCUCCAUAUUAGUACAGGCAGGUGACUGACCAACUAUCUUAAAGUGAAGCCACCAACUUACAAGCCCCAGCUACAACCAGAAAAUAUGUAGUCGGGGUUCAUGAACUUCAUGAAACUGGUAAAGGGAAAGAGAAUAAUAACUGUAGCAGUGAGUCCAUUUGUGUAUUAAGAUAAAGCAAAUAACAACAGUACAAAUAGGAGAAAAUUAGCAUAUCAUCUUUGUGAUUAAGCUCUCCCCCAACAUCUGUAUUCCAUCUUUUUUCCCCCCAGUUUUUUCAAUGUGGUAAAAUACAUACAUACAUAAAAUGUAUGUUCUUAACCAUUUUUAAGUGUAUAGUUCAGUGUAUUAAAAUAUUCAUAAUGUUCUAUAACCAUCACCAUUCAUCUCAGAAUUCUUUUCCUUUUGUAAAAUGGAAAUUAAACUCAUUAAACAAUAAUUACCCCUUUCCCCAGCUUUGGCAACCAACCUCCAUCUCUAAAUACCUCAUGUUAGUAGAAUCAUACUUGUUUUUCUUUUGGUGACUGGCUUAUUUCACUUAGUAUAAUGUCCUGAAGGUUCGCCAUGUGGUAGCAUAUGUUAAAAUCUCCUACUUUUAAAGGCUGAAUCGUAUUCCUUUGUAUGUUCAGGCAUGCUAAUGAGAAUGAUGUUCUGAGAAAUUUGUUGUCAGGUGAUUUUACCCUUGUAUACUCAAUGGAGUGUACUUACACAAACGUAGAUGGCACAGAUCAGUCACUUGAUUUGGUCUCUUAAUGCACUUGAGAAGCAGUAAACACAAAGUGUAUGAAGCUGCUACUGAUGUAACACAGCAUACUGCUUUACCUUUUUAUAAGUACUUUCUGAAAUAAAAAUUGAAAGUAUAGUUUAUACAUAAGCCAGUAAUAUAAUGGUUUAUUAUCAUUAUUGGGUAUUAUGUACUAUAUAUAAUUGUAUGUGCUGUACUUUUCAUAUGACUGAAAGUAUAGUAGGUUUGUUUAUACCAGCAUCAUCACAAACACAUGUGUUAUGGUUUGGAUUUGAGGUGUCCGUGGAGAAAGAAGUACAUGUUAGACAAUGCAGGAAUGUUCACUUGUGAAAUGAUUAGAUUAUGAGACCUGUGACCUCAUCAGUGGAGGUCAUUUUAUCAGUUAAUUUGAGUAGAUUACUGAGUGGUUAACUGUAGGUCACUGUAGGCAGUGGGGCAUGGCUGGAAGAAGUAGGUCACUGGGAAUUAUAUGAUGUGCCCUUGAGGAUUAUAUACCAUAUUCCUUGCUCCUUGAUCACUCUGUCUACUUCCCCCCCCCUCUCUCUGUUUGUCUAUCUCUGUCUGUUUUCUGGCUGCUAAGAACUGAGCAGCUUUCCUUCAUUAUGCCCUUUUGCUAUGAUGUUCUGCUUCACCUGGGGUUCAGAGCUAUUGAGUUGGCCAACCAUAGACCGAACCUCUGAAACCUCAAAGUAUACUUUUCCUUCUCUAAGUCUUUCUGGUCAGAUAUUUUGGUCACAGUGAAGAAACACUAACACAACUUGAGUAAUGUAUUGCACUGUUACAACAUCUUAGGCAAUAGGAAUUUUUCAGAUCCAUUAUAAACUUAUGUGAUCACUGUUGAAAUGUGUCCAGUUUUGACCAAAAUAUCAUUAGGCAGUAAAUGACUAUAUAUAUAAGACAUUUUGAUUAUGGAUUCAUUCAUUGAUGAACACUUGUGUUACUUCCACAUUUUAGCGAUUGUGAAUAAUGCUGCUAUGAACCCCAGUGUACAAAUAAGAGUUCUAGGAACAAUUGUACUCCAGCAAAUUGGAUUAUUAGAUGAUGGACAGAAAAGCUAACAAGACUAAAACAUGAAGAAAUGAAAAAAUCUGAAUAGAUCUAUAACACUAAAGGAGACUGAGUGAUCAAAAAGUCUUUCAAUAGCCAGGUGAAGUGGUACAUACCUGUAAUCCCAGCAAUUUGAGAGGCUGAUUCAGGAGGAUCACAAGUUUGAGAUCAGCCUCAGCAACUUAGCAAGGCCCUAAGCAACUUAGCAAGAAUCUGUUUAAAAAUAAGAAGGAUGGGGAUGGGGUUCAGUGGCUAAGUGCCCCGGAUUCGAUCCUUAGUACCAAAACAAAACACAACAAAACAGAAACCUCCCCAAAAAGAGAAACCCUGGACCUAAUGGCUUCACUGUGAAUUCUAUUAAACAUUUAAAGAACUAAAACAGGUCUUCCUUAAACUUUCCAAAGAAGAGGAAGGAACACUUGUAUCUCUAAAGAUCUCUUAUAUAUUAAGAAUACCAUGUUUUAUGACAGUUUGCUUAUAUUGAGAAACUUCAAUUUUUUAAAAAAUAUUUAUUUUCUAGGUGUAGGUGGACACAACACAAUGCCUUUAUUUUUUUUAUAUGGUGCUGAGGAUCGAACCUGGAGGGUCGCCCAUGCGAGGCGAGCACUCCACUGCUGAGCCACAAUCUCAGCCCAACUUCUCAAUUUUUUAAAAAGUUAAGAUCUUUGCAAAUCUGAGUUUCCUGGAAAACUGCCUUCUUUCCACCAAAGUAGACAUGUAUUCUUGAACUGUGUGGCUUCCUUGACCACUCAUCUCACCUCUUAAAAAUAAUGGCAAUAUAUAUUACCUUCUUACAUUAUUACAGUGAUUGUUGAGAUCACCAGUAGGGUAACAACUCCAGGCAUACCGGGGAUUCUCUGGGUUUUUGAGUAGUGCAGCUUAUAUGCAUGCUGGCUAUGGAGAAGAAAUGAUUUCUCCAGCUUCCUCCAGUACAUACCUGUAAUCCCAGCAAUUUGAGAGGCUGAUGCAGGAGGAUCACAAGUUUGAGAUCAGCCUUAGCCACUUAUGUUUGUAUAUAAAUUGUUCAGAGGAGAGUUGAUCAUGUGAUGUAUAGGCAGAUGAUUUCUCCAGUUGCUGUCCAGCACUGUUCCUACUCCUCUCUGCUUCUCACCCUGCACCUCUUCUCCACCCCUUUGAUUUUGGAAGAUGACUUCACUUUCUACUUCUUAAAUUAAGAUGUUCAAUUUCUUCUUGUUCAUCCACUUCAAAGAUCUCUUUUUUUCUUUUUGUGCUGCUGGGAAUCAAACCUCUAGGACUCUGUGCAUGGUAGACAAGCACUCUGCCACUGAACCACACCCCUAAUCCCAAAUAUCUUUUUGAGCCCUUCUUUUUUAACACGUUUCCUCCUUUUUUCUAAGGCUAGAUUCUUGUGAGACUUUCUUUUCAUUGCCCCUCUCUCCUUCCUUGGCUAUUUUCAGUUUGUUGGCAAACCUGGUGAAAUUUUCUUUAAAUUUAGUAUAUCUCUAGCAAUUAGAGAAAUGCAGAUCAAAACUACACUGAGAUUUCAUCUCACUCCAGUUAGAAUGGCAAUCAUCAAGAAUAUAAGCAACAAUAAAUGUUGGUGAGGAUGUGGGGAAAAAGGCACACUCAUACAUUGCUGGUAGGACUACAAAUUGGUGCAGUCACUCUGGAAAACGGUAUGAAGAUUCCUCAGAAAACCUGGAAUGGAACCACCAUUUUACCCAGUUAUCCUACUCCUCAGUUUAUAAUCAAAGGACUUAAAAUUGGCAUACUACAGUGACACAGCCACAUCAAUGUUUAUAACUGCUCAGUUCACAGUAGCUAAGCUAUGGAACCAACUGCGGUGCCCUUCAACAGAUGAAUGGAUAAAGAAACUCUAGUAUAUAACACAAUGGAAUAUUACUCAGCCUUAAAGAAGAAUGAAAUUAUGGCAUUUGCCACUAAAUAGAUGGAACUGGAGAAUAUCAUGCUACGUGAAAUAAGCCAAUCCCAAAGAACCAAAGGCUGAAUGUUUUCUCUGAUACACGGAUGCUAAUUCACAAUGAGGGGUGGGCAGAAUAGUGGAGUUUUGGACUAAACAGAGGGUAGUGAAGGGAGGGAAGGGGCUAUGGGGGUAGAAAUGAUGGUAGAAUGAAUCGGACAUUAUUACCCUAUGUGCGUGUAUAAUUACAUGACUUGUGUAACUCUACAUCACGUAAAACCAGACAAAUUGUAAAGUUAUACUCCAUUUAUAUAUGAUGUGUCAAAAUGCAGUCUGCUGUCAUGUAUGACUAAUUAGAACAAAUAAAAAACAGUAUAAAUUAGCAAAACCUUCCCUUCUCUGUUACUGCCUUGAGGCUAUAUACCAUUUUCCUUUUCACCUCCACACUUCUCAAAAUGGUCAUGUAUACCUUUAUAGCUCCAGUUACUUGUUAUUUGCUUCUUUCUUGCCAUUGCCAUUUUUUGCAUCACUUGUUUUUAAAUUGUGGGGACCUAGUUCUCCAUGGCUUUUAUUUUUACCUCUUUUGCAUUAUUACCUUUUACUCACUUAAUUUUUUAAAAACCUCACUUUAAAAAAAUUUACCUUGUAAUAGAAAAUUUGAAAAAUACAAUGAAGUAUAAAAAGAAAAUUUUCAACUGUAAUGCCCAAAAUAUUCAUCAUUAAACUUAGGAGUAUAUCAUUUGCAUCUCUCUCUCUUUAAUGCAUUAAAUUAAAAAAUUAUACUUUGCUUAUUUUUUUGUUAUCUGAUCUUUUUCUGUUUUAAUACAUUGUGAAUAUAUUUCCAAUCACUCAUUCUUCUGCAGUAUAACAGUAACCACAUAAAUUGGUAGUGUUGAGAUUGUCCGCUUUAACAUUGGCUUCAAUUUCUCCCUACCUGUGUGACGUGGGACCAGUUACUACUAUGGAUUUUAAUGUCUUGUUCUUGAAAACAAAGAAAACAUUUUAAACUAACUCUUAGGAUUCCUUUAUGUGGCAAAUAAGAAAUAUAUUAAAAAUGAUUCUUGACAAUAACUACUAGCUGUUGUUACAGUGUUAUGUGACUGUACUAUAAUUUGUUUAGAUUACUUCUUUUUGCAUGUUUUUGUUGUCAUUAAUAAGGUUGUGAGACCAUCCAGGUAGUGGGUGCACAUCAUUAUUUUUUAAGUGUAGGUUUUUUCCAAAAUAUUGUUUUAGUUGUUGAUAGUCCUUUAUUUUAUUUACUUAUAUGCAGUGCUGAGAAUCAAACCCAGUGCUUCACACAUGCCAGGCAAGUGCAUUACUGCUGAGCCCCAUCCCCAGCCUCUUAAGUGUAGAUUUUUAAAAAAUGUUUAUUUUUUAGUUGUAGUUAGACUCAAUAUCUUUAUUUAUUUUUAUGUGGUGCUGAGGAUCGAACCCAGGGCCUGCAUGUGCUAGGCGAGCGCUCCACCGCUGAGCCACAACCUAAGCCCAAAGUGUAGAUUUUUAUUAGUAAAAUUAUUGGACUAGUGAGUAUAUGAUACAUCUUGCUAAAUUACCCUCUAGAGAGGUUAUCAUUUAACCUCAUGGGAGUGUACAAGAGACCAUUAGCUUCCUUACAUUUUUCAAGAAAUCUUCAUGCUGACAGAUGUUUGCCACUGCACCCGGCAACCACAAAUAUUUCUUGAUCUACAUUUCAUUCAGGUUUGGCUUCAGAAAGAAAGAGAAUGAGAGCCUGUAAAGAUGUGCACAAAGAUAUGUAGAAAUAGGUUGUGAGUCUUUCUGUUUUGAAAUUUCUCAUAUUUUAUCCUAAAUGAAUUUGAGUCUCCUACUUUAUUUGGAUGCCAGGUUGUAUGUGGAUGAAAUUUUUAAUUACCUUGUAGUCUGAUUUACUAUUUUUUUGGGGGGGGGGCGGUUAGAUUUUUUAAAGACAGCUUUACUGAGAUAAUUUGCAUAACAUGAUUUACCCAUUUAAAGGACACACUUCAGGGGGUUUUGGUAUAUCUGUAGAUAGGUACAACCAUCAGUACAGUCAAUAUUGGAACAUUUCAUCACUUCCAAAUGAAACCCUAUACCCUUUCACUAUCACUCCUUUAUAACUUUUUUAUUUUUAAAUGAUAUUUUCUAUUUUCAAUUUUUUUAUAUUGUAGGUAGUUGGUACAGGAUUUGGGAAGAGAAAGUAUGACAUUUGGAUUAAAAGUUCAGUGUCUGAAGUCUUACUGAUAGGUUGGAAUCCCAGGUCUUCCUUAAUAUCUGUGUGACUUUGGGGGGUUACUUAACCAUCCUGAGCCUGUUUUCUUAUCUGUAGUAUGGAAUUAGUAGUGGUGCUUGCCUCAUAGGCGUAUUUUAAGGAUUAAACAAGAUAAUAAAUAUAUAAAAUUUAGCACAUAAUUGACACAUAGUAUUCAAUAAAUGGAGCUCAAUAAAGGUAUUAUUGGUGUCAUACUUUUGUUCUUAAAUCAUCUAGCAAGUGGUUGGUGCUAGUGGAUAUUGUUAUUAAAUACUGAGUGGUGUUUCUGUCAGUGUUUCUGAAUGUUUUCUGAUAACAGUAUUAGUAAUUUACUCUUAGAAAGUGUUUGCUGUUUGCCUGGCUCUAUUCUAAAUGUUAAACCUUUAUUAACUCCUUUGAUCCUCAUAUUUCAGAUAUGUUCAGUUAUUAUUCCCAUUUAAUGGGAAUUAGAGGAGGUUAAACAACUUGGUCAAAGGAUUUACAACAGGUAAGUAGUAGAAGGAUUCUAACCAGGAUUCUAGCUCUCAGUCUGGGUACAGAACCUGUGCUCUUAUCCCUGUGCUUUUAUCAUUACUGUCUCCUUCCUAAAAGAAUAGUUCAUGGGUUUUUAGGCAUCUUAAUAUCUUGGCUGCUAGAGGAUCUAUAUUGAAAAGGACUGUGAGGUCUUUAGUGCUUGCUUGGAAGAACUAAACUGAGUGGUGAUGUCUGCUCUGGACAUGGACUUCAGGGUGGUUUUGUUUUCCAUCCAGAUCAGAUCACACCUUGAUGGUUCUGCUCUAUCAGCCUAAAAUGAGGACUCUGGGUGGGGCCAGGGCUAGUCACAGGGCACACUUCUUGGGCCUCUUGGAAUGUUUAUUUAAACCUGAACUAUUCCUUCCUUGAAUGCUGUCAAAUCCUGCCAGUCCUUGGAAGGCCACCUUAAAUUACUUCUCUGGACUCAGCUGUAGUGAUCUUUCCACCUGUGGAGUCACAUAAUUGUCAUGUGUAGUAGUGUGACAGCAUUUGUAUUAUAAUUUGGCACCAUUAUUUCCAUUUUAGUGUAUUUUUGACUUGACAUGUUAAUUAAAUGUUGCUUGAGACAGGAAACUAUAUCUUAAAUGUUUUAAAAUUAACUACUGUACCCUAGGAAGUAUGAGCAAGUAAGGAAGGUAGGGGUGUGUGUGUGUGUGUGUGUGUGUGUGUAAAUAUUUUUCUUUCAGUCUCAUUCCUGUCAAUAAUAGUUGUUCUCUGAAAUUCAAACUCCCAGACUUAGUUCCAGAGGUAUGUGGUAUGUGUUUGUAAGAAGGUGGGUAGUCCUUAGGCUGUUGGGUUAUAUGCAUUAUGUGCAUUAUGCUGCAUCUGAUUGUCUGAAACUGAAACUCUUUUUUUUUUUUUAGUUGUAGAUGGAUGCAGUAAUUUUGUUUUACUUGUUUGUUUUUAUGUGGUAGCUGAGGAUUGAACCCAGUGUCUCAAAGGUACGAGGCAAGUGCUCUACUACUGAGCUAGACUCCCUCGCCUGAUUGUCUGAAACUCUUUCAGACCUGUUGCUUCCUUUUGAAAUUUUCCUUGAUUGCCCUAGUUGAUGCUCAUCCUGUGUAUAGACCCCUCCCUUAGGCAUGUGACUCACUGAUUUAAAAGCAGUACAGGAUAGUAAUUAACUACCUCUCUCUCAUCGUAUAGAGAUGAGAACGUAAAUGAAUGCUUCCUAGCUAACACUUUCUUCCCCAACUGUUUACCCACCUACGGACUUGUAGCAACACUGUCCCUCAUCUGGUCUUUGAAGGAAGUAUCUCUAGAAUGUUUGUCUCCUAUUAGAAAUGAUUAGUUUGCAUAUUCUUGUACAAGUGAUAGAUUUUUCAACUGAUUUAGUUUUCUGUAAUUUUUAUAAUGUCAUUAGUUUGGUUUUAUGAUGUGUACAUUAGGAAAGAUGACAGUUGGAUUUUUAAUGAAGGUAAUUUUAAGUUUUUAGUAAAUAUUAAUUAAGUCAAAUAUUAUGACAGAUUAGUUGAAUUAAGGUCUAACAUCACCAGUACAUUCUUAAGAUAGCUGAUGGAUGUUUAUCCAUUUUCAUGAAAUGUAAUUAGAUUUUUAGGAAAAUAUAUUUAUGUAAAGGAAUUUAUUCUACCUUUAUUACUGCAGGUUGGCAAUCAAAGCUUUUUUUUUUUUUUAGUGUUGGUGGUACUGGGAAUUGAACCCAGGGCCUCACACAUGCUAAGGCAAGUGUUGUGCCAUUGAACUGUAUCUCCAGACCUUUUUAUUUUAUUUUUGAGACAGGGACUGGUUGAGAUUUUAUUAAAGUUAGCAAAUGAACUGUUAAGCAUGGUGAAAGACACGGGAAUGUUUACUAUCCAUUCAACUUUUCUAUCAAUUUAUAAGUAUUUAAAAUAAAAAUUUUGGAAAAUGAAUACUUUAUCAUAUCCAAUUUAUAAUUUCAUACAGGGUUUUAUGUGUGUGUGUGUGUGCUAUUAGGGAUUGAACCCAGAAGUGUUCUGCCGUUGAGUUAUAAUGGCAGAUUUAUAAUCAGAUUUAUAAUCCUCCUGAGUAGCUGGUGUGUACUACCCUGCCCAGCUCUGAAAAAAUAUUGAAAACAGCAUCUCAGAGUAUUUAUCAAUAGAAAGUAAAUCUAUUCUUUAUAAGUUAUAUGUAGUAUAAUUGCAUUGCCAAGAAGUUCUUGCCCUUAGAUUGCUUACGCUUCUCUGUUGCUGAAGCACACAGUCUGUGACCUUUUAAGUGCAGUUUAAUUUUUCAUUUAACUUAUAAUUCAUGAUUUCCAGAAAAAAAAUUUAAAAUUUAAAAUUUCCUGAUCAAGGAAAGCUGUGUGGGACUUCCUUCUAGAAUUGUUUAUUAAACAAUCUAUAGGCAGGCAAGGUGGUUCAUACCUGUAAUUCCAGCAGUUUGGGAGGCUCAGACAGAAGGAUUGCAAGUUCAAGGGUAUCCUCAGCAACUUAGAGGCCCUGUCUCAAAUUAAAAAAAAAAAAAAAAAAAAAAGAAUAAAAGGAGGUGGGUUGGGGCUGGGAUAUAACUCAAUUGCAGAGCACUUCUGGGUUCGAUCCCUAAUAGCACACGUGCGCGCACACACACAAUCCUGUAUAAAAUUAUAAUUUGGAUAUGAUAAAGUAUUCAUUUUCCAAAAAUUUUACUUUAAAUACUUAAAAUUGAUAGAAAAGUUGUAUGGAUAGUAAACAUUCCUGUGUCUUUCACCAUGUUUAACAUUGAAACUUUAAUACAAUCUCAAAAUUAUAAUGUUGAAUGAAAAAACAAGUCAAAGAAGAAUACAUGUAUAUAGUAUAAUUAUUCAUAUAAAGCUCCAAGGUAGGAACAAUUUUAAAAUGUAUAUUAAAGGGAAAAUACCACUGUGGUAAAAUGUAAGGAAGGGCUGGGGUUGUAGCUCAGUGGUAGAGCGCUCGCCUAGCAAGUGUGAGGCCCUGGGUUCGAACCCCAGCACUACAUAAAAAUAAAUAAAUAGAAUAAAGGUAUUGUGUCCAACUACUACUAAAAAAUAAAUAUUAAAAAAAUGUAAGGAAAAUUAAGGGAAUAAUGCCAAAUUUAGAAUGGUAGUUAUCUUUGGUGGGACGAAGUAAUUGUCUUGAUACAUGGAGGGGGUUAAAGCUGCCAAUACAUUUCUUACAUAGAAGGUUGGGACAGAAUUAUUCAUUUUUAUUACCCUUAUUUCAAAUGUACAUCUAUAUUUUAUAUACUUUUAUAUGUAGAAUGGAUUUUAGGCUAAAAGUUCUAUGGUAAUAUUUUUAAAAUCUGGAUAUGAGGUAGACAGAUGUCUGUUCUACCACUUUUUAUAUUUUCAGAACGUAGCAUGAUUUAAAAAAAUUAAAGUAUCACAAAAUUCUAUAUUGAAACUUAAGAAUACUGUGUGACAAAUCAUUAACAGCAAUACCUCACACCUCAAAACAGAUAUUAAGUUAUUAUAAAAUGAAUAAAAAAUGAAAACAAUUUUUACUUCACUUCAUUGUAAUGUAACAGAAAAUAUACAUCAUCUACAUAAAAUUUAUUUUAAAAAUUUUAACUUAUAAUGUUAUUCAUGAAAUACAGUUAGCAAAUUGUGGGAUACAGCCUUGUUCUUAGGAUACACCUGCUGAAAUGUUCAGGGUUUAACCUAUUUACAGAAUACCUGAAAAUGUCUUGGAACAGAAAAGUGUGUGUUUUUAUAAUGAGAGCAAGAAAAAGAAAGAAAGCAAGCCUGUGAGGCAAAAUGAACUGCUGAAUAUUUGGAGUUGAGUGCAAGUUCAGCCUUUGACACUUGGUAAAUUUUGGUGAAGGAAGACUUCAUUCAUUAUCGUUGCUGUAAGGAGGUUCAGGGACCAUUGCAACAGUUGUGCAGUAGGAGAGAGAACGGUUGCACUCAACUCUAACUACAGCAUAGGCAAUUGGGAACUUUUCAAUUCAGUGAACAUGUUGGGGCUUAGUGGAUGGAAAACUGUUAAGAGAAAACAUCAGGUGUAGGAGAAUUUGUGAGUGUCUAGGAGUGCAGCGGUGGGUUACAUGUUACUGUAUAUUUAGCUUUUUAAAGAAACCGCCAAACUGUUUUCCAAAGUGGCUGUGUCACUUUAUGUGCUCAGUUGUACGAGAAAUCCUUUUCCUUUACUUUCUUGCCAAUAGUAGUUAUUGUCACUAUUAAUUUUAGCUGUCCCAGUGGGUGUGUAGUUAUGAUCUCAGCGUAGGCUUAAUUUGCAUUUCCUGAUGAGUAGUGACCUUGAUCAUCUCUUUCCAUGUGCUUUUUGCCACUCAUAUAUCCUCUUCAGUGAAAUGUGUCUUCAUAUUUUUUUGCCUAUAUUCUAGUUGAAGUUUUCUUUUUACUGUUAAGUUCUGAGGUGGUUUAGUAUGUAAGUCUGUACUUUAGUAUCUAAGUCUGUACUUUAUUAACGGGAUUCUUUGCAGAGCAGAAGUAUUAAAUUCUGAUUAAGUUUAAUUAAUCAUUUUUCUUUUGUGAAUCAUGCUUUUAGUGUCAUUUUCCAUUCCUGCUCCCAACCUUUAGCUCCAGAUGAUCACUGAUCUACUUUUUGUCUUUAUGGGAUUGCCUUUUUGGGGAUAUUUCAUUUAAAUGGAAUUUUGUAGUGUGUGGUGCUUUUAUUUAUUUAUUUAUAAAUUCAUUUAUUCAGCACAUUUAUUAAUUUAUUUAGCAUUUUUUCAUUUAUUCAGCAUAUUUGUAAUUACUUUUUUCCCCACAUUUUUAAUUGAUGCAUUGUAUUUUUAUAUAAUGAUGGGAUUUGCUGUUACAUAUUCACAUAUGCACACAUUAUAACAAUAUAAUUUGGCCAGUAUGACUCUCCAGGACUUCCCAUCCUCCUUUUUGCUCUUAUUUCCCUUGGAUUUUCAUGAUAUCCCCUCCCCCCACCACUUCCUUUUCCUUUUUCCUUUCUAGCUUCCACAUAUGAGAGAAAAUAUACGACCCUUGACCUUCUGAGUUUGGCUUAUUUCACUUAACAUAAUGAUCUCUAGUUCUGUUUUUUUGCAAAUGACAUAAUUUCAUUUUUCUUUAUGGUUGUCAUUCAGCAUAUAUUCAGGGUUCAUCCAUGUUGUAUCAUGAACCAGUUCUUUUAUGACUUCAUCUAUUCUUAUGGCUGAAUAAUAUUCCAUUCCUUGCAUAGACCACAUUAUUUAUCCAUUUGUCAAUUAAGACAGAUUGCUUCCACUUUUCUGCUUAUACCAGAAGAGCUGCAUAUAUAUUAGCCACCUUCCUCAUGUGUGAUGCACACAUGCACAGAUAUACUCAUAUAUAUAUAUAUAUAUAUAUAUAUAUAUAUAUAUAUAGUUUUGUUUCCUUUUUUUUGAAGCUUUAUUUUAUUUUUUUUUUAAUGUGGUGCUGAGGAUCGAACCCAGUGCCUCAGAGGUACUAGGCAAGUGCUCUACCACUGAGCUACAACUCCAGCCUUUUUUCCUUUUUUAAACAAUGAAGGAUGACUUAUUUUAUGAUUUUAUUAAAAAAAAAAACAACUUAAGGUACUUGGAAUAUCUUUCCAUAUCCAUCAGAAUAUACACAAUAUAUCUAAUUUUUCUUGUUAAACGUUUAGCGUUUAGUGUUUAUUGUGGCUAUUGAUCUUAUACUGAUAAACAUUUAGGUGACAGUGGGUGACUUCCUGAUUUUUCUUAUGUGGCAAUAAAGAUUCUUAAAUAGUGUCUUUGGUGCAAAGCUCAUUUUACAUACUUUUGGACUUCAUUGUCAUUUAUCAUUCACUUAUGCUAUUACUGUUGUAUAGGGAUUUUCUUAUAAAGAAGAUACAUAGAAAAUGAUUGCAUUUCAUGUAAGCAUACUGUUUCUUACUUACUAGAAUUCUGUGGAACAAAUAACUACAUAAGGGAGUAGAGAGAAUUUAACAGGAGAUAUUUGAAAUGGGUCUUUGUGAGGAAAAAUGGAAGUUCACUUGGCAGAAGAAGAUAAAGAUAAGUACAUUUUGACUUUUGAAUUCCGAGUGUGAAGAAAAGUAAAAGCAUUACACAGCCUGGCCUCUUCAGGAAAUAGCAAAUAGUUUAAUAUGGCCAGCAGGAGGCUUUUGGGCAUGAAUUAUAGAAGACAAGGCAAGUUAAGUAGACUGAAAGCAGAUUAUAGCAGACUGAUUAGUCUAUAAAUGUCCUUCUAAAGAAUUUGUACUUUAGGCUGGGGGUGUAGCUCAGUGGUAAAGUGCUUGCUUAGCAAGCAUGAGGCCCUGGGGUUUGAUCCCCAGUACUGAGUUGGGGGGGGGGAGACAGGGACUUCAAUUUGUACAUACUGGAAAUCAUUGGGGAAAAAAAAUUAAGUGCACUUUUAUUUUUAUUAAAUGGUUAGAGUUGUGUUGUGAAUAUUUCAGAUUCCUUCCAUUGUCUUUCUCAGUUACCUGAUUCUACCUCUUGCUCUAUGCAACUGUUGCUUUGCUUCUUGUGUCUAAAUUUACCCUUUCUAAAGAUUUUAUGUACAUUGAUGUGUACAAUAUGUGGCUUUGCAUCUGGCUUCUUUCACUUUUUAUUUUUUAUUUUUAGACAGGGCUUUACUAAGUCGCUGAGGCUGGCUUUGAACUUGGAAUCUUCCUGCCUCAGCUGCUUGGAUUACAGUGGGGCGGCACCACCUGACCAAAAUUUUUGUUUUUGAAGUUAUUCAUUUUGUUUUAUAUGUAUCAGUAUUUCAUUCCUUUUUAUUCCCCUGUGUUAUUCCUUUCUGUGGUUAUACCACACUGUUUAUCUGUUUAGUAGGUGAUGAAUAUUUGGAUUGUUUCCAGUUUGGGGUUAUUAUGAAUAAUGCUGCUAUGAACAUUUGUAGCUAAGUAUUUAUGUGGACACAUUUUUCACUUUUCUUGAGUAGGUUCCCAUAGAGAAAAUUUUGGAUCAUAUGGUAAGUUUUUGUUUUAUUUAACUUCAGGAAAUUGGCAAACUGUUCCCCAAAGUCACUGUAUUAUUUUACAUUACUGUCAGCAAUGUAUGAGGGUCUCAGUUUCUUUUUGUCCUGAAGCUUGGUAUUAAUUGUCUCUUUAAUUAUAUAGACAUUCUGUUGACUGGUAGUAUGUUGUUAUGCUUUUACUUUGCAUCUCCAUAAUGAAUUAUGAUCAUUAUUUUUAAAAUAUGUUUUUAGUUGUAGGUGAACACAAUACCUUUAUUUUAUUUAUUUAUAUGUGGUGCUGAGGGAUCUAACAUGUAGUAGGUGUGUGCUCUACCACUGAGCCACAACCCCAGCCACAUGAUCAUUAUUUUUUUUUUAAUAUUUAUUUUUUGUUGUAGGUGGACACAAUAUCUUUAUUUCAUUUUUAUGUGGUGCUGAGGAUCGAACCCAGUGCCUCAACGCAUGCUAGGUGAGCGCUCUACCACUGAGCCACAACCCUAGCCCUAAUCAUUUUUUAAUGAAGCACAGGUUUAUUUUGAAAAUAGCAGGUAUACUGAAUGGAGGUAAGAAUGAAGGUGGGCUCCAUGAAAAAUAUGAGCCUAUACUAGAGGAUGUAAUUAGAGUUGGGGAAGAUGGAUUCUAAAGAUCUAUUAGCAUUAGAAUGGGAAGCAUUUACUAAUUGGCUAAAUAUAAUCAGUGUGGCAGAGGGAGGUGGAAUUUAGUGAUCCCAAGAUUUCAAACUUUGACAGUUGGGUAGAUAGUGCUGCCAUUAGCCAAAAGAGUGUGUGGAUGUUUUUUGUAUUGUAUACCAUGGCUUUUAUAUUGAUUCUGUUUUUUUGAUGUUCCACUGGAAUAAAUAUUUGAGUUUUUUAGUAGUUUGGAAAUAUAUUCAAAAGAUGAAUCUGAGCUGAAAUCAGAAAUUUAGGGGAGUUAUUAUAUAUGUAACAACUGAAUUCAUAGAAGUAAAUGGCAUGUCUGUUCCUAAAUCCCUGUAUGUUUUUGGUUACUAUGAGCAACUGAAAUUGGCUUAAUCAAUAAGAAGAUUUAAUAUAAUACAAAAAGAUCCAAAUUAAAAUCGUUCUAGGUAUUCAGGCGAGGCAUAAUAUCACCAACGAUCCAGAUUCCUUCUAUCAUUUAGUGCUCAUGUCAUUCUCAUUCUGUUUGAGUGUGUCCUCUUACACAGUCUGUUCUCCAAUGUUCUUAUGAUGAAUGCCACAGUUUGGCUGACACAUUUCUACCCAGAAUUGUAUGCAAAAAAAGCAUGUGUAUGUGUAUCAUCUGGCUUUUGUUUUUGGUGAUGGUGGUGGUGGUUCAGUACUGGGGAUCAGAACCAGGAGCAUUCUACUUUAAGCUACAUCCCAAUGUUUUUUGUUUGGUUUUGAGAGAGGGGCUUCUUACUAAGUUGCUCAAACUGGCCUAAAUUUGUGAUCCUCCUUCCUUAGCCUCCCAAGUCACUGGGAUUAUUGGCCUAAAAAACCACACCCAGCUCAUCUGGCUCUUUGCUUCAUCCAGGAAAACCUUCCCCAUAAGCUCCCUAGCAAGUGAACUCUCUUUGUCUUACUGGCCAGAAUAAUCCACUGGCAAAAAGAAUGGAAAUUACCACAGUUGGCUUAGACCAGAGCAUUCUAGCCCAAGAAUCUUUCUCUGAUAUCUCUUCUGGAAGAAACUUUUCCCUCUUGCCUUUUGUUCUCUUUUGUAUUUCAGAUAGGUUAGAUUUUCUAAAUAACUUAGUUUCUUAUUGAGUCAUUAAUAUUAGGUACUUCAAAUCAGCUAAUAUUUGCUGAAAUCUUAUUCUAUGUCAUUUAACUGUGCUAGAUUUUAGGAUACAGAAAUGAAACUAUAAGAAGCAUUGUUUGAUAUGGAAGUAACUUCAACAGAAGAAUUAUGCCCUAAAGUUCAUUUGUAUUUUAUAUCAAUAUAUGUAUGUAUGUAUGUGUGUAUGUGUAUGUAUGUAUGUAUGUGUCUGUAUGUAUGUAUAUGUAGGCAUGUUUAAUGCCAUUAUUUUAUCUUUGGAUUUAUGAGAAAAGGCAUCUUUAGUUUCAAAAUCAAGCUUACUUUCAAUUGAUAAAAAUUAACUUUUGGAACAUUUAGAACACAACUUGUUCAUGAGUUGAUCCUCCGUAUCUGUGUUAUUUGGGUUCAAAUGAAUGAAUGCUAAAACUAAAUUAUAUUGUUCAUUUGAGUUACUUAAAGCAAAAACCAUGUUAUAUUCUCUACAGCAUAAUGUUUGAGUGUUCUAGUUAACAUGCUAAAGAUUUUAAUAGUACUGUCUUUUGCUUAAGAUCCCAACUGAAAUGUUUCUAAAAUAAAGAUGAUUUUGUGAUUUGGUUCUGAUUUUUUUAAAAAAAAUGGUUAUUUGAGUGCAGCUGUAGUGUUAAUAUAGUAAGCAGUGUUUGUACAGUAGACAUACUAUUUUUUAGUUGUAGGUGGACACAAUACCUUUAUUUUAUUUUUAUGUGGUGCUGAGGAUUGAACCCAGUGUCCCAUGCAUGUAAGGCGAGCACUCUACCUCUGAGCCACAACCCCAACCCAGAUGGGGUGCUUUUUAUGGGUGUUGAAAGAGAGAAGAAAUGAAGUUAGAGAUGAGGGAAUUGGGAGUGGUAGAAAGGAAAAAUGUGCAAUCUAAUCACUUAUUCUGAAUGCUAAAAAUUCCACUACAUUUUGAUAACUAUUAUAAACUCAAAAAGUAAUUCUAAGCUUCAGUUUUGAUUGAUUAUAUUUAUCAAAAUCAUACUUAUGCUGUAUUCUUUUGUAUUAAGUACAUUGUCCUUAAUACAGGAAUUAAUGGUGAUAUUCUGACACCCCAGAGUUGAAGAUAAUUAUAAUUCCCAUAAUGUGUGUCCUUGAUGGGUUCUGGGUUCUGUAUGGUGUGGGGUAUGUGUGGUGUUAGGUAUUGAAGCCCAGAGCUUCACACUGAGCAAAUGUUCUACCACUGAGCUAGCUGUACCUGCAACCCCUAGUGAUCCAAAAGUAUCUUGGUGGCUUAAGAUUUAAACAUUUUAAUAAUUUUGAAAACCAAGAGGAAAGUCAGGCGUGGUAACACACACCUGUAAUUCCCACAGUUUGGGAGGUUGAGGCAAGAGGAUCACAACAUCAAGGUCAGAGUCAGCAACUUAGUGAGAGCUUUGUUUCAGAAUACAAAGGGCUGGGUAGAUAGCUCAGUGGUAAAGUGCCUCAAUUCAGUCCCCAAUACCAAAACAAAACAAAAGAUGCAUGCAAAAAACAACCAAGAGAAAUGUGUACAUCUUGAUAGCAGGAACAUGUAUUUUGUAAAGGAAAAUGUGGGAAUAAAAAUAAAAUAUGGGAAUUGUCUGCUUUUUGUGCAAAUAAUUAACUUGAGUAAAUUCUAAUGUUAGCUCUUCGUUAUAAAACAUUAGAGUAUACUUAGGUUUGAUUUUCAUUUAUUUCAAGUCACUAAGAAACUGAUAUUUGUAAAAGAAUUACCUUCUCUUUAAUGUGCUUUCUACAGUUAACAUGUUUGAAAAUUUUAAACAUAAAAUCUUUAACAUAAAAACACUUAUUAUGAGAAAAGGCAUCUUUAGUUUUAGCAUCUGGGGCUGUGGCUUAGCGGUAGAGAGCUUGUCUAGCAUGUGCAAGGCACUGGGUUCAGUCCUCAGCACCACAUAAAAAUAAUUAAAUAAAUGUCCAACUACAACUAAAAAAAUACUUAUUUGGUGUUUGGUUUUAACUGGCAUACCUGUGAUUGUGGGAUAUAAGUUUACAAUGCUCAGACUGCUGUAAGUUGCCUUGUAAGUUAAGUGGUUGAAGUUGUUUGGAACAUUUUGCCUAUGUAAAUCUUGUUCCCUUCUAUAUGUGUGCAUAUUUAUAGAUUUGUGCUUACAGAACUAUGGCACUAUAUUGCAAAGGUCCUAAUCUUUACUGUAUUCACACAAUUUGUAAUAUGUAAGAAAUUAUUUGCAGACCUGUACUGUGAAGUAUAUCUUUCCUCUGACUUGUUUUGGUUAGCUCUGAAUAAUGAAGUCAAACCUUACUUGAUUUUCCUUAGUGAGUCUUAGGGUCAAUUUUCUUUCUUUCUUUAUUUUUCCUUUUUUAUUAAAAAUAAACUUUAGAUUUAGGUAGUUAUGUGUUGUAACUCAAGGAAACAAUAUUGUAAUGAUUAGUGUUGUAAUAAACAAUGAUUGGUAAGUGGUUUACAUGUUAUUUAUCAUUUGCUCCAUUGGAAGUAUCUGAUAAAAUUAGAAUCAGGCCAUCUCUGUUGGCUGUCUUUGGUUUUAUGCAAAUGGAUUAAUAUGAGCUUUGUUUAAUGCAGUGAUUACUUCCUCUCUCUUUCUGUACACAACCUUAGGGAGGAAUGGUGUAGUUGUAGUUGGGAAAAAUGGCUUUGGAGGAAAAUUUUUAUGCUGUUUAUAAAGUGGAAACAUAAUGCCUUUAUUUUUUAACUAGUGUGAGGGAAAUUCUUAGAGAUUAUGAAUGUCUCAAAAAAUAAAACCAUGAAGUCUCCAAUCCUGCCAUCGUGCAUUUUUCUUAGUGACAAUCUGAGAGUUUUAAAGUCAUAUAAGUACUCCCCAAAAAAAGUUAGAGACCUGGUUAAGUUGUAGGUAACUAGUAACUAGUACACCAGAAGACUGUUAAAGGCUCCUAAAUGCAGACAAAGCAUUACUAAUUGCUUUCAGGGUCAGGCUGACUUUACUUGGACCAUGAAAGAUUUAGCAUAGUCCUAUGGCUGCCUGCUUGCUGAGUAAAGAGUCUUGUCUUUAACAAAGACUGCUAUCUGAUAUGCCAGACCGUUUCAUGUUGCCCUCGUUUACAUGAAUUUAGUCAUUAUUGCCAAGACUACUAAACCUCAGUGCAACAUAAAUGAUACUUCUAAAUGGUCUUGAAGACAAAGGCCUUUAACCUUGCAGUGGGAUGUAGGUAUUGUUUACAUAGCUUUUAAAAUAUGGAACAGGAUACUUUGCUAUUUGAAGUUUCAAUUAAAAGAUACAUUCAGGAAAAGUAUUUUUUAAAAAUCUACAAGUAAAAUACCACACAUCUUUAAGUAAAGUAAAAUUUCUAAUGUUUUCCAUCUUUUAGAAUGUUUAUUCCUUGGAACGGUAGGAUCCUAAUGACACUAUUAACAUGGGUCCAAUCCCAUCAAUGCAACUAAUUCUUCACACUCAUAAAUCCUACUAUUCUAGGUAGAAGUUAGAAUGAAAUUAAAACUGGUUAAUGAAACUUGAUAAAAAGGGGCAAAGGAAAUACUAGCUAGAUGGUCAAAUAUGUUUUUGCCCAUGUAAGAAUAUGAAUUUUUUAUUGUAAUACUUAUUGAAUUGAUAUUUAUUUUACUGUUUAUUUUAAUACUAUUUAGCUAGCCCUUAUUAUUAUUAUUUUUGGUACCAGGGAUGGAAUCCUGGGGGCACUCAACCACUGUGCCACAUCCGCAGCCUUUUUUUGUAUUUUAUUUAGAGACAGGGUCUCACUGAGUUGCUUAGAACCUUUCUAAGUUGCUGAGGCUGGCUUUGAACUCAAGAUCCUCCUAUCCCAGCCUCCUGAGUCACUGGGAUUACAGGCAUGCACCACUGUGCCCGGCUAGCUAGCAUUUACAUUCAGUAGUCUUCAUUGGUAGGUUUGACUGUUAGUGCAACCAAAUGUAUUUUUUUAAACAUUUAUGUGGUUUUUAAUUGUAGUUGCACACAAUACCUUUAUUUAUAUGUGGUGCUGAGGAUCGAACCCCGGGUCUUACACAUACUAGGCAAGUGCUCUACCACUGAGCCAUAACUCCAGCCCCUGUAUUUUUAAAAAAUUUUUUUCUUUUUAGUUAUACAUGUCAGUAGAAGGUAGUUUGGAAAAUUAUACAUUCAUAAAAUAUAACUUAUUCUAUUUAGGAUCCUAUUCUGUGGUUGUAUAUGAUGCAGAGUUACUCUGGUCGUGUAUUCAAACACAAGGCUAGGAAAGUUAUUGUGUGUUUUUUUUUAAAUGAUGAAAUUUUUGUUUCUCAAAACUAUAACAUGGAAAUUUUAUAGGUGACAUCUUUUUUUUCCCACAAAACUAACUUUAUAUGCUUCAUUAUUCAGAGGUUGGGAAAAUAAUAAAAGUGAUGGGUUUCUAAACAACUGGAACUUUUCAUUGUCUUUACUUUGAAAAUGUGUUAUUUUACAUAUGAAAUAUUUUUAGUAUUGCUUUAACAUGUGUUAGAAAAUUCUGACAAAUAAAAGUUCUUUCUAUCUUAAGUUUAAGUUCUUUUUUCCCCCCAGAUUUAUGAAAAUAUGCAUCAGCUUAAUACUGUCUUGGAAUUCAUGAGAUGGAAGCAUAGGUCAAAGCUAUUUGGAGAGAAUUGGAAGUACAGUUUUAUAGCCACAUCUCUAAGGUAAGGAAAAGAUUUUAAAGAAAAUAAUAGAGUAACAUGAA